This 64422-nucleotide long non-coding RNA is filed under the name Coffea arabica (coffee). RNAcentral's name for it is "long non-coding RNA (CARA_LNC000359)". Lineage: Eukaryota; Viridiplantae; Streptophyta; Magnoliopsida; Gentianales; Rubiaceae. The record is from RNAcentral.
UUUUUUUUUUUUUUUUUUUUCAACGGUAGAUGUUCUAUAACCUAAUCCAACCUAAUCUAGGGGUAAGGGGAGAUGAUCAACUAAGAUCAAUCACAUAUUGUGACAAAUUUGAGGAGGCAAGGUUGAACCCUGACUUCCAGCAUCACCAAAAAGGGCGAUGACCACUAGACCAAAUGACCAGUGCACCUUCCUCUUGAUUCACUUUAGAAAUUCUGAACUAAGAUAAUAGUGGCCGGACAGUUGAUGACACUUGUUUUUGGGCAUGAUGGUGAGCCUGAUACUCGCUUGCCCAGAAAACCGGCUUGACAGUGGAAGGAUAUGAUGCUUACCUUUCAACCAAAUUGUACAGAGACCCAGUGGUGAGUCUUUCCUAUCAAUCCAUCAAGUAUCACACAACUAAUUUAGUGAAUAUACCAGUCAUUGCCAAAUUGGAAAAUUUUUUUUUUAUACGUAUUCUUUUACCUACGAGAGAAAUAGAUAGGAUCCAAUAGGAGAGUAAGAGGUAUUGCGACUUCUUUAAUAUUACUCGGAAUACGCCAUAACCCAAUCAAUGAACCAAACAAAAUACGAAAGCAAACGAAAUGACUUCUUCGGCACAAUCACACGUACUCCAAUGCGAGUGGUAAUGCAAUUAAAUACGAAAAAAUAAUCUGAAAAGGACAGAACCCCAUAAUAAGUAAAUCCUAUAUAAAUUACAAACCAAAAAAAAAAUUGGAGAGAUGACAAACAAGAAUAUAACACAUUGCCAGAGCAUUUUCUGUCAUAUAUACCACCACAGCCACAGCCACAGCAACACCAACUUAGUACGAUACCUUAGAUGCGAGUUCAGUACUCGCGUAGAACAAGCUUGCUGUAGCUAAAUCCUGGCAAUAAGUAGCAUAAAUUUUUUCACAUUCCAGGCCAAAAAAAAAAAAAAAAAAAGAACAAGAAUCUAAACUACAAAAAUCUAUUGGAGAAAAUAAUAUAAUGUUACGGCACUGCAAUUCUGACCGGAACUCGGGGUCAUGUUUCUGAUCUUGCACAUGUACAAUACUUUUUGUCUCCUCUCUGGAGUCUCUGGCAUUCCUUAAUCUUGAAGUUCCUUUAACGGGCACAGACUUGCAUGUAGAGCAGCAGAGAGUUUCAGACUUCCAGCAUUGUCCUUGUACCCCACACGUGCAAGCUCCCAUUCGAUCUUCGCGUGUUUGAAGUUGUUGAAACCAGGGGAAAGAAAGGCCUCCUCGGAAAAUUAAGGCAAGCUAGCUCUCGGAAAUUCAGAAUUUUCAUUCUGGGAACCAGCUAGUUUCCAUUUGGAUUUUUUUUCUUUAGUUACAGAAACCUGGUCUGAUACUAUCAACUCCAACCCCAAAGGGACGGCAAAUACGGAAAGCCCAGUAGAUCUAUAAAGGGUGGAGUUUCCUUCAGAAACCCUAAUGAAGGUCAGUAGUUGCAGGUACCGAUAGUUUAACAAGAAUUUGUCUCUUCAAGAAAAGUUCUUUUUGAACGAGAAAAGAAAAACAAAAACACAAAGUCCUGAAAUAAAUAUAUAAAAACAGAAUAGGAAAAGGCUUCAAUAAACACAUUGCUUAUGCUUCAUUAACCUCAGUCCUCUUUCUUUUUAUUUCUAAUCAGGCACCAUUCAUCUAAGUCAAGCAAAGACAAAAACAAGAAUCUACAAUCCGAAUAUUUAAGGCCAAAUAGUACACUGGUAUUUUUCUGUGUAGGAUGAGGAUAAUAGGGUCGGUUUCUUUAUCUUCUCUUUGGCUUUGACCUAACUUUUGAUGUCUUAAGAAUGUGACUCGUGCUGCCUAACUAAAUGAAUGGGUCAUUUACUUCUGUUGAUAGGCAAUUUUCAGCUCAAACGAAGUCGUAUACGGAGAGAUAUGAUGGGAAAAAAAAAUCUGUGGGUGAAAUUGAUAGAUUAAUCGAAAAAGGGUAUAUUAUUGUUUGUGAUAGUGUUAAAACUAGCUGUGCUAGAAGGUGGGGUGUACAAAGAUGGAGCUGAAGGAGCAGAAGAAGUGGUGGAAACAACAACAAGAGAAGCAGAAGGUUGGGCCGGUGGUGGAGGAGGUGGUGCGGGAGCUGGUGUGGGAGUAGAAGGAGGGGGAGCGGGUGGGAGUUGGAGUAGCCGGAGCUUGUGGCAUCAUAGCAACAGAUACAUGAUUUCCAGAGGAGACCAAAGCAGCAUGAGUAGAUGCUAUGAUAUUAUUUGCAGCCUCUCUAUAUUUAUAUCUCAGUAUCUCAUUCCUAACUGCAUGAAGUUCGGCCUGUAAAGAUUGAACCUGUUGUUGCAAUGCUGAAAUUGCCCCCAUGCAUCCGUAUACUGGAUCUCUUAGUCUCACGUUUGCUUCGUAUACCAAACUAUUUGCAGCAUCAGCUCUUUGAUUCUCAGGGACCUCCUACAAAUUUCAAAGAAUUGAAGUAAACAAAACAAGAAUUGCAGUGUUUAAAUAGUUUCACAUAUUCAGAAGGAGUUCAAUUCGUUAAUAACUGUUUCCUAGGAUCAAAGAAAAAAUUGAAAAGGGAAGAGGAAAAGAAGGCGGAGAAGGAGGGUUUAUGUUGGACUAAUUUCUCGAUUCUUAUCUGAUAUCUAAGAUUAAAUGGUUUACUUACCAUGAGCAUCUUGGAAACGUUGCUAGCACCAAAAACUUUGUGAACAGCAGCAAAUUUCUGGGGUUCAUGUGGGGAAAAAUAAGGAGAAAAAGGGCAUUCUUCCGCACAUCUUCGUCUUAGCAGCUUACAAGCGGCACAUGGAGUAAUGGUAUUCAAGGUUCCUGGAGGACCUAACAUGUUUCUCCUUCCCAUCUGUGACGAUGCAUCGAAUUCUGUUUUCAACUUCUUUGCUAUCUCAUCUAAUCUCUCCCUGUAUAUACUUUUCCAAAAGAAAUAUAAGGGGAAAAAAACACUUAGAAACAGUUGCUUAAUUUCGGAUUACAGAAUCAAGGUUAUAUAUGUGCCUUAUCACCAUCUGGAUCAUACCUUUCUCUGGACAUCCAAGAAUGCUAGUGUAGGUCACGGCCGGCUUGCAAAUUAGAUGUGGGGAUGGGAUUGGGGGAAAGGACUAAAGGCGAGGGAGAGAAAGCUUCAACUUUCAAGUUUCAAGGGAGAGGAGGAGAAACGAAAAAGAAAAAAGAAAGAAACUAGUUGAGGGAAAAGAGGAGUGCUUAAAAGGCAAGGUAUCAGGAAAAAGUAGGUCAAUGUUUUUUCAUCACAAACUAACAAAUUAAGUGUAUCUGAGAUGGUGAAAUAUUAUACUCCAACCUUAAGAGCUAGAGUAAGAAUAGGGCGGCCUAAAUUAGAAGAUCGGGAGUGAUGAUGGAAAGAAGUGAUAAUCAAUACAUCAUUGAAUUUGAAGAUUUGGACAAAUUUUUACAUUGGCCCCCACGCUCCCUUAGGGGUGUUCCGUCAAAGCUAGCUUGCUUCCCCCACGUGUGACUUCAUACGGCUAUUGACUUUUUGACGGUAGCCAACUGGGGUUUCACCCAUAGCAAUGGACAGAUUUUCUUGUCUUAACAAAAUACGCUAUUCUUUUGUGUUUUUCAACAUCUAAUUUUAGACGUAAAGAAAACAUGAUGAUCGCUUUGAUGAAACAAAGAUGACUUAAUGUGAAGGUCUAGAUAUUAAAGGUAGAUUUAUUGAAGCAGGGUACUGCUAAAGAUUUAGUUCCUCCAGGCAAAAUCUUUUGGUUUGUUUUUUUUCCUAGUCCGGGUCGAUGUCCUAGAACCCACCUCUCAUGUGAUACACGUCGUGUCGCCUUGAGAAAUACAGCAAUGGACUUCACGAUCUGAAAUUUUCAGGCGAAGCACUCCUCCAAGCAACAGAGAAUUAAACCGUUCUCCUUGCAAAACGGUAGCAUUCGUUCAUUAGAUUCAUAAUUUGUAAUGUCAAGAAAUUGAUUAUACGAGGCUCUCCUCCUUUGUUAUACGAGGCAGAAAUCAGUGUCUAGCUAGAAGAAACUGGAGAAGAAUUUUAUGCUUUGAGAUAGACAUGUCAAAAAUACAUUUGCUUUUGGAACUUAUUAUUUUUAUUCUUUUAAUAGAUUUGCAGUAAAAAGCAGGAGUUUAAUAGUUGAGAGAUUUUCUGGGUAGUCGGCUUUCAAGGAAAAAAAAAAAAAAAAGAGUUGCUUCGGAAAUUCACUGCCAGUCGUCUAAAAGGUUUUGAAUUGCUUGACGGCGUUCACAAUUUAUACCUAAGCUAAACCCUCAAAACAGUCUAUUCUUGCGUAACUAUUGACUCGCAAAACGUGUUUAACAGUUUCAGCCACAGCCAAUAACUUGUACUAGCGCCAUCCACAUCUUUGAUCUAAGCUGUCAUUCGUGGGUGGCAUGUCAAGGUAAGAAAGGACAUAUACCCAGAAUCUUGUAAUGAACAAGGUUCUUAACUAACUUAUAUAUCUUUGAUCUUUAAUUACCCAAACAAAAAAAAAAAAAUCUAUCUGGGAAUUAGAUAUAUGAAGCGUAACAAAGUAGGACGCACGUCCACAUAUCCGAGGGCAUACAAUGGUUGAAGUUCUUGUAAGAAAAACAACCCUUUGGCUUGCAUGUACGCCCAUGAGGGGAAAAAAGAGAAGGUAAAACAUAGACUGUUGUUAGUGUAUAUCUACGAGAUUCCAUGUGUAUCGUUUGUUUCAUAUCAAAGGAAAGGAAGUAAAACCUACUUUGCUACAACAUGAAGCAAUACACAUACCUUCAAUGUUAAAGGCAACCUAAAAAGAAAAGAAAUUACCGUUCCGAGAUUUUUCUAAUUUUGGGUAAAUAAUUACUUUCAAGGUUAAAGUAUAUAUUAAACUUAAACAGUUUAUACUGUUCAAAGAAAACUAGAGAAAAAUUUUUAUAAUUGGCUUCAAUUAAUUAGUAUAUUGUUUUGUCGAGUUCUCUAAAACUCCCCAGUGUACAUGAUUCUAGUGAAGAGUAAAAUAGGUGGGCAAAAAAAAAAAAGAAAAAGAUGAGGGCACGUCCUGUGAGCGUCAAACUGGUGGGUUGAAGUUGGCCAGACAAAAACUCAACUCUCGCGAAAGUUGGCAUCACAGAGUAGGUGCAGAAAAGGAGAGAAACCAGUAAAGGGUAUAUAUGACCGGACAUAGAUGAGGAGUAGGGAAUGGAAAAUGGAGGGUUGGUUUUGGAGCAUUGGAAAGGAUAAACAAAUCUUCGUUACCCAUUUGCAUAUGCUUGCAAGUAGUAAAUAGUAAUGGAUAGUGUGAUGUAAAGACUUGCUUUAAAUGCAAGGCAAUGCAGCGAUGCGUUAUAUCGUUUGACCCGUAUUUUAAGCCGAGGAAAUCGCAACCUUGUUUCUUCCAAACACAUUACGGGUCUCUUUAGAAACUGAGGGCUUGUUUGAAACCUAGUUUUUUUAGAGUUUGUCUAAAACUUUACUGUAGUGCACUGUAGAAAUUUUUGAAAAAAUUUUAUAAAAAUUUUUUGUAAGGAGAAAAAUUUUGUAGAAGUUUUUGUAAGGUUAAAAACUUUUUUUUUUUCUUUCUCUUUCUCUUUCUCUUUCUCUUUCUUUCUUUCCUUCUUCUUUCUUCUUCUCUUCUUCUUCUUCUUCCCCUUCCCCGUUACCUCUGCCUCCAGCAGUGCCACAUCCCGCCACCCCCUGCUUUGCUUCUCCCCCUCUGCCCCGCCACCCCCUUUCUCUGCCAUCUCCUUUGCCCGCCUUCCCCCUCCCCCCGCCACCCUCUGCCCUCCCCUCUGCCCUUCCUCCUCCACCCCUCCCCCCGCAACUUCAAAACAGGCCCACCUUUCCCCUCUACCUCGCCACUCCCUCGCCACCUUCCCCUCCUCCCGUCACCCCCUUGGCCCCUUUCCCCUCCUUUAUUCCCCUUCCCGUUUACCAUCCCUGAAUCCCGCCACCCGUCAAAUUUUUUUUGGGGCAAAUCCCCUUUUUCCCUCUGUCCUCCCCUUUCCCGCCACCCUCCCUCAUGCUAUCUGGUCUCGCAACCUGAUCGGCCAGAGGGGAAGGGGAAGAGUGGUGGGGAAGGAGGGGGGAGAUGCAGAGAGAAAAAAAAAACUUGGGAAGAGGGAAAAAGGAAAAAAAAAAAACGGGGAGAGGGAAAAAGGAAAAAAAAAUCGGCACUAGAAAAGGUGAUCGGCGACGGAACCGGCGGCGGAGGUGGUGGCCGGUGACAGAGCAGGACGGUGAGGUAGUGGUGGGGGAGGAAGAAGAAGAAAAGGGGAAAGGAGUUUUUUUUUUUUGUGUUCUUGAUAUUUUAAGUGUGUGGGUUAAAAAAUUUUGAUAUGUUUUUGGAUUCCUGUAGUACAAGUUGUUAAAAAACUAGUAUAAUAAAAACUUGGUAAAAAUUUUUAGGAGUUUGUCUAAAACUUUACUGUAGCGUACUGUAGAAGUUUUUGUAAGGCGAAAAACUUUUUUUUCCUUUUCUUUUUUUCUUUCUUUUUCUCUUUCUCUUUCUUUUUUCUUUUCUUUCCUCUCUUCUUCUUCUUCUUCUUUCCCCCUCCCCCUUCCCCGUUACCUCCCAGCAGCAACUCCACCAAUGCCACUCCCGCCACCCAUCUCCUCCCUUUCCUCUUCUCCUCCCCUUCCUCUUCUUCUUCCCUCUGCCCUUCCCCGCCACUGCUCUCUGUUCACCAUCCCUUUCCUCUCCCCUUAGCCUGCCACCCCUCCUACUCACUCCUCCGCCACCCCCCUCUGCCCACCAUCCCUUUCCUCCCCUCUCCCCCGCCACCCCUUUGCCCGACCUCCUCCGCAUGCGUAUUAGCUAGAGCCAAACCCAAGCGCGCGCACCAAGCGUGCGCCUUAUCCACAGCGCGAUCCCCCUCGCUGUAGACGUAGCCCAGCAGCACCAGAUGCAGACGCAGCCCAGGCUCAGCCUUUCCUCUUCUCCACAACGCACCAGAUGCAGCCCAAGCUCGCGACCCAGCCGCAAUGCGCGUGCAAUCACGCGACCUCUGUGCCCCUGCUUGCCCCUACGCGUCCACAACUAGCAAGAGCACGCGACCAGGGCGCCUCUCAACAAGCCAAGCGCAUCUCCGCAGGAUGGGGACGAAAUGGCGGUGGUGGUCAACACCGGCAGUGGUGGUAGGUUAGGAAGGGGGAGGAAGAAGAAAAAAAGGGAAGGGAAUUUUUUUUUUUUUUUUGUGUUUUGGGUAUUUUGAAGUGUAUAGGUAAAAAACUUUGAGAAAUUUUUUGAGGUUCCUGUAGCAAAAGUUGUUAAAAAACUAGUAGGUAAAAAACUUGUCCAAAAACCUGGCUCCCAAACAGGCCAGUAUACAUUGGCCCCCUUAUACCUAUUUAUAUUUAACCAACUAGCUUCGACCACCACAUAUAUUGUAUAUUGUCGGGGGCCGAAGAUCAUAAAUUCAAAUCUUACUCUUCAUCAAAAUUGUCACUUAAUAUAUCUUCUAUUCAAUUUAUAUGGUUGUGUAAUGCAUUCGUAUGGUCCCCGUGAGUUUUUCGUGACCCUGUUAGGUCAAUCUCCCUAUAAUAGGUUAGAAUGGGAGUAGCAAUAAGAGUAUGUAUAGAUUUAAUUUGAGUAAGUAUUUAAAUGUAGAGAAGCUGUUUCUGUGCACUAAUAGAAUAAGUUACCUAUAAUUUAGAUUGGUUUACAGGCACCAAUUAGAAAAUUUUGUAUUGUUUUUAAUUAUUUCAUAAAUUAAUUUCAUCUCACAGACCAAAACUGUUAAGACUGGCAUCAACAGCCUCGACGAGAAUUACCUCUCAUUUGUUUCAGAUUCAACAUUACACAUUUAUUUUGAGAUUUACGCUAUGUAUUUUUUUUCCCUUUUUGGGGGGUUGCACAAACGCAUUCUGAAUUUCUGAUCAUUGGAUAAUUAUUGUGGAAAUAACACGUCAAACUUUAAAUUUAAAAUUGUUGCUAUUUUUCAGUGAAAUGUAUGGGCUCCCACGGACUCCACAGAAAGGGAUCGAACGGCCCUUUUGGUAAUUGUAUCAGAUGAGCAUACGAAAAGGAGAAAUUAUAUUUAACAGGUAGCAAGCGUCUGUCCUUGGCCCUUUGCAUUGUUAGGCCCGCAGAAUUGAUACGGACAAUUCUGGCCCACUAAUCCGGUCCAGUGGCACAGUCAAAAGAGAGAUUUAGGUGUCCGAGUUUGAUGUAUCACAAUAACAAGCCCACAUUGUAAACGGCAUUUUAUAGGUAAACGCCAUAGGACCUCUAUUUUUCUGAAUAGGUAAAUACAAAAGUAAUGAAUCCAAAUCAGAAGCUGCCGUCGACUGUUUGGGCUCCAUUUUUUGGAAUGUCCUCUCCCCAUUAUUCACGUGCUGUCCUGCUGCCUGUAUAUUGUACAACACACGAAUUGAAAAUCUGACAGCAGGUGGUCCGUCCAACUGCCAAAGCACUCGUACCGGUGUAAAAUUCAUAUCAGCUGGAUGUAUUGCUACUUGGAAAGCGGAAACCGACAAGAUCCUCACUACUACGCUGCAGCACAAAUCUGCCGAUCCGAGUAGAAUUAGAAUGCCGAUGGGGUUGUGCCCUAAACUUUUUGGUUUAAGAUUAAAUCUGUUUUUGCCUCUUAAAAUGUCAUCAUCCAGAAAUCUUGGAAUUAAACUUUAGUUUUUGAAUCUUAAUGAGAUCAAUAGUAGAUCAUCAUUUGAAUUAAGAUUGUGAUGCAGCAUUUUGGACUCUGAUGAAAUCCUGGAGUUUUUAUACAAAAUAUUUUGUCAUUCAGCUUUGAAUUGCAUAACCCCCCUUGGUGGGGCACCAAAUUUCGUUCUUGCUUAUGCCCUUAAUGGCAAUGCAAGACCUCAGAUCAACCUGCUUUUACUACAGACUGAAAUGCGAUUCUCAUAGGCUUUGCUUAGCCUUCCUUCAUUUCCGAAUUUCAGCUGGGCAAUUGAAGACACAGAAAUGAAAGAUGUCAACAGCAGCGUUACAAGAAAACUUUUCAUUUCAAGGUUUCCCGAAAAGAGAUCGAGCACAAUCUCUAAAUCAUAAUAAAAACUGAAGGAGAACUGGAAAGCAGAGCUGUAAUAACUUAUUAGUGAUUGCUAGUACUAUUAUGUUUCUUGAAAAUUACUAGUACAUGACAGUGCUAUCUUACAUGCUACCACAUACUUGAUUCCACACACACUUUUUUGGGCUGAAGAGCAGAUUUGUAGCAAUAAAUUGUACUAGUACGUAGCUUCCCAAAACAACAAGGGCUAUGAAGAAUCGAUCAUGCAGAUUCUUUUAGCAAUAAAUUGAGCAGAUUAGCAGAGCCGCGGCUCGGCGUAACACUAUUGGAGGAGCAACGGCCGCCUACACCGCCAAAGCAGAGACUUGAGACAUGGAAUACAUAUCCCUCGUCUUCAUCACCUUCAACAUCUUUCCUCCAUGAGUGAAAAGACAAUUUUCUACGUUGUUUCCCGCCUGCAGGCUUUGGAGUAAAAGGAGAUGAGCGAACUGAACGCGAAGAAGACCAUGGAGAGGAUGAAGAAGAAGAAAGACGACGACGGUGAGGAUGCGCAUUGCUCUUCUUGAUUACGUUCAGCUUAGGAAGAACAGUUUGCAAGAUGCUACUGGGGUUAGCAGUAGUAGGCGUAGGCGCCUCCGAUGGAUGCUUCUUUACAGAGAUCCUAGCAGGGCUGCAUAGGUAUGAAGGUGGAGGGGUGAGAGGAGGAAGCGGCCGCCUUUCCCUUUCGCUGAGCUUGACCUUAGGCGUUCCAGGUCGAGAUUCCCACCUGAAUGGGAUGCCGGCAGACGAAUCUGCAUAGUAGACUUCAUUAGAGGAGUUGCUCAUUGAUGGCUGCCUCAACAGAGUCCUAGAGCAAGAGGACAGUUUGGCCUCGGACUUGACUCUGAUGGGCUUUAUGGGAACAUCCGAGAUGCGCGUGUGCAUUUUCUCUUUCGAUUGCUUCUGCAAAAUGUCUGAUUAAGUUUCCUCAAUAAUAGAUGUUUGGAGGACGGGGAAGGGAAGAAGCAGACACCAGACUAUGAAUGUGAGUGCACCAUCUUUAUAUACAGUUAGAUUCCCAAUACAGACUUCGUAUUCUAUUUGCCCAGGGCUUUUUCUUUUUUGUCUUUAUUCCCUGUGCUUUGGUGCCCCGGUCAUAUCAUAUGGGCAAAGGUAUCACCAGGUAAGAAUACAGUAAUCUUUUUCUUUUUCUUUUUAGGGUUCAAAUCAAACUACGAUAAAGAAUACGGUAGUCCUAACUAGUGAAGUUAUAACAUAUUUUGUUUUGUUUUUUUUUUAUUUCUUUUAACCACAUUCGCUUUAAUCUAAUAUAAAUAAAUUACAAAUAAUAAACAGACCCUAUCUCUCUAAAUUUCAACUAGCUGCCUUCUCAUUUCUCAUUUAAAACCGCAUGGAGAGAGGUUCACGCAUAGGGUCGACGGUAGGCAAGGUAAAACUCAACAUCCCCAUGGGUACUCGAUCCAAAUCAUUUAGUUGGACGAUGGUGGAUAAUUCGUAAGGAUCUUAUGUGUGUACAUGUAUGUGUGUUUAGAAAGAAUCCAAAACCUCUACGUUGUAGAGUUUUAACCUUAAUUAUUAGAUUAAGAACUUCUCCGCAUAUGAGAUAAUUAUUUAAGUCUUUUUUUAAAAGACUAUAUAUUUACCCUUCAUAAAAUACCUAAUUUCUCUAUAAGCCUAUUCAAGUUAUAAAUUCAAUAAAAGUGUGUUGAUUUAACGUGAUAUGCAUUAAGUUUAGUUUUGAUAUAAGUUAAUUCCCUUAUUUUAAAACUAUUUAAAUUGGUAGGUAGAGGAUAUUCGAUGAUAAUCCAAACCUUAAGUGAGAGGAAUAUUUAAGGUAUCCGACCAACUGCCAUCCUUCCUAUCCAUGAAGCUUAAAAAGUUUCUUAACACAAUCCAAUCAUGUCCGAUAGAUAAAGAGUACAGAAGCAUACACGAAGGGGGAAAUUCAGCGACUAUCCAAGGAUAAUUUUUCAAGUCAACUUUUAUCAGAACAGGCAUGUUAUAGCUAUAAACCCGCUAAAUUGAUUGUAUGCGCAUCCAGUGGAAGAUGAAAUCAAAUCUGAGGAGUAAAUGGUUUGAAUUAAAAUGCAAGGCCGAGAUUUGUUCUAACCAUGGUUCGAAGUCUCGGCCGAGACCAAGACGACUCAGCCGAGUCGUCACCGCGACGGAUUGACUCGGCCGAGUCACACCAAGUUACUCCGAGUUAUUCCGAGUCAAGACGAGAAAUCAGCCGAGUCACACCGCGACGGAUUGACUUGGUCAUUUCUUUUGCUAUUUUUUAAUUAUUUUUAUUUAGCCUACUUUUUUUUAUAUUAUUAACAAUUUUUAGAAUAUUAAAUACUUUAAAAUUUACGUCUCACCGAGACCGCGAUAGAUAUGUCGAGACCGAUGUGCGAACGUUUCGGACCGCGCCGCGACCGCGACCGCGACCGCGACCGCGACCCUGACUUUAAACCAUGGUUCUAACUUCUACCUCGUAAGCAGGCAUAUGAAAAUGACGCCAUGCAUGUUUAGCCACAAUUUAUGGGGUGGCUGGCAUGUGAAUGUGAAACCUGCAAUCUCGACCCUGCCAUUGGAGUUGAAGAAUGCACGUGCAGUCGAUUGAAUUCGGAAUUUUCUAGAUUAGAGCACCUCCUAAAAUCUCGUGGAGUUUAAUACAGGCUUUGACUCCAUUGCUCUGCAAUGUAAUGCUGAAUUACCUGUGACUUGCUCAAUUAAUGCACCUUGACUGCCACUUUAUUUUUGCCAAUACAAACGUAUUGUAUUGAAAUUGAACCAAAUACAGAGAACUUUGUGGUUUGUGCCAUACGAAUCUUAAAAAUUCCCAGUCAUACUUUCUCAAAGCAGGGGACCCUCGUCAAAUAAUGACUUUCAUCGCAAUCAAAUCAAGGUUCUCAUCAUCAUUCUAACAAAUAAAUUAGUCUAUUUACUUUACCAGACUACUCAUUGGUACAUUGAACAACCUUGCUGGUAGAAUACAACGUGAUGAUACUGUAGAUCAUGCAGACGUAACUGCAAAAUACCUACUACUGCUAGUGGUAGAAGUGAUACAACAGACGACGGAGUGAAGUAAGAUGUUUUUGGUACACCAGCAUGCACGUAACCCAUGGUCACAAAGUUAGAAAAUGGAAAGUGAAGUUAUAGGAAAUGGAGAUUCAAAUUUGCCCCAAUCUGAAGUGAAUGGUAAAAAUGUAGCAGGCACCCUAAAACAAAUAUAGGAGCUCUUCAACACAAGUGUUUUUUUAAGUCUCGCAUUCCUGUUGAGUCAACUGGCUCGCUUGCAUAAAACAAAUACAUGUAUAAUUGUAAAGCAACAGCAUCUAACAUCUCACGGUGCACGGUGAAUGCACAAACUAUAUUUUUGUAUUAAGAUCAAAACAAUCGUGAUACUCUUGAGGAUCCAUGCAUCAAAGUGGACCGUCAAGAAGGUUUUGAUCUAAUGGUUAAAGCUGAGAUUUCAGAAAUUAGAGAUUCUAGAUUUAAUUUCUCCUUCUUCUCCCUGUUAAAGGAAUCAAAAAAAAAAAUUCACCAAUUAAAAGGAAUUAGAGAUUCUGGAUUUAAUUCCCCCUUCUUCUCCCUGCUUCUUAAAGUUCAUCACUUCCCUGUUAAAGGAACCAAAAAAAAAAAAAAAAUUGAAAGGCAAAGCCAACAUCUUUCCAAUGUUCUGUAGGUUGAGUAAUCAGGAUGAUCUUCUUCAGCAACGUAAAUAUUGCAAGAACAAAACCCAUCCUUGAAAUGGUGUAACUGAUCUCGGCUCUCAUUAUAAUCUCUCUCUUAAAUAACAUUGAACUAAGCUUAAUAGUUAAGCGGCAAGCUUUACAAGUUUGAAUUCUUGACUACACGGAGAGUCUCUCUCUCCUGAUGGUGCCAAAAGCAACAGCAAUCCUUUCACUGUGGUGUCUGGCUGCACUCUCUCCGUCUUCAUCACCGACGUCAUGAAGAACUGAAGUUAUAUUGGUCUGGCUGGUACCCUGUAGCCUCCUUUUCGAUUUCAUCCAGAAAUGAAUAAAUUUGUUGGAAGUUGGAACUGAGGAUGUGAAGUAUCCCCAGCUAGAAAUCGGUGUACAACAUUGCCUAUACCUCAAUUGAAAUACAUCCUGGGGUUUUACGUACUCCUCUGCCUCCAUCAUUAACUUCCGGCAUACAUUGACGUCACUUGAGUGAUGCACAUAGGCUCGAUAAAACACAUAGUAUAUAAUUUCCCCCAUCACGUGGAUCCACUUCCAAGAGAUUCUGAGUUAUUUAGUAUCUUUACAAUUUGACAUGCCUGGAGCAGACUUCUCCAGACCAUAGCAUUAGGCUUCAUGUGCUGCAUGGUCUUCGCAAGUUUUAGCGCUUCUUCCACAAAUCCAGAUCGACCCAAUAGGUCAACCAUGCAGCCGUAAUGUUCAACGCCAUGAAAGCUACACGCAGGUCGUGAGAAAUAACUUCUGCCCUCAAGAACCAAUCCCAGAGUGGCUACAUGCACAUAAAAAUCCAGCAGAGGCAAUGCCAUCUGGUUUCAUCCCUCCCUUCUCCAUUGAAACAAAAAUAUCUAUAGCCUCCUUUCCAUAACCAUGCGUGCCCAAGCCAGGUGACAGAAUUCCAGCAAAUAACGUUUUUCGCUUGAAGGCCAUGAAAGACAUUAAGGGCAGCUUCUACGCUCCCACAUUUCCAAUAUAUAUAUAUAUAUAUAUAUAUACUCCCUCCAUUUUUUAUAACUGACGUUUAAGGUUUUGCACACCAAUUAAGAAAAGUUUUUCAUUGUUUAAAUCUAUACACUACUUUUCUUUUGUACCCUCAUUAAUUGUCCAAUUCACUCAUGUUUUCUCUCACUAGAGUAUUGAAUGGUGCUGUUUUACUAGGCCAAAAGCAAAGAGAAGUAAUAAUUAUUAGGAGUAGUAAUUAAGAGCCAUGUAUUGAUAAAGAGAGAUAAAAGGGUAAAAUUGUGAAAAAAUAAUUAAUGCUGCAUGGGAAUAAUGCAACGACAGAUAAAAGUACUUAAGACAAAUUUCUUAAACGUCAGUUAUAAAAAAAGGGAGGGAGUAUAUAUAUAUAUAUCUAUUGUUUGUUACCGAUCGUCCGUCAACACAGUUGUCAUUCAAUGCAAAAAUCGGCAUAAUUCAUUGCUUUAAAUUUCCUUUAUAUAUUUGGUGUUGUUAUGUUCUAUAUAUGCGCAAGCAUCGAUGAGAAAAGGGCGAGCAUGAAUUCCCUUCAUGUUUGUUUUGUUCCUACUAUAUAGCUCCUCUUUUAAACACUUGGUGGCCCGUCAGGUUUUUAUUACUUUUAGUGAUCUAAUUAGAGGAAAUAUCACCGCAAUUUCUAACUCUACAAGCUUACAAGCUCAUGAUUAUCUUUCAUCUGUUUGUUUUGAUCUUUGCCUGAAUAAAUUCAAAAACAUAUAUAGGAGUAUCUGAUCAUUCUGAUCAACAAUUAAAGAUUUUCAGAUUUUCGCGUUACAACAAUGAAAAGUAGAAAAGCGACCGGCUUAUUUUCGCAUUGUAAAUUCAAGAAGUACCAGCAUACAAUUUUAUAAGGGUAAUGCUCCUACCAAAACAGCUCUUGCUUACAAAUUUGAUUCAUACUCAAUCCGACUUCUCAUAACUGGGUAGAAAGAUUACUGAGAUUCCAGAAUCAAACGUUCAUCUUAACAAAUGAAUAAAUUAUUAGGGAUAAAGAGUCAUGACCUUGAGUCUUUUACCUUGGUCUGGCUACGUGGCACCAUGCUGGGAAUUAUGUGCACUAAAGAUGAAAGUCAUUUGACUGUCUCUGUCUGUCUCCAUUCCUCCGACUCCCACGUGGGCUCAAACUCACCCCAGCACAAAUCCUACCUUUUCAAUUUUCUGAAUUCCCUCCGUCCCAUUUUGAUAGUCUUGUUUUCUUUUUUCGUCUGUCCCAAAUUGUAGUCCACUUUCCCAUUAAAAAUAUAGUAAUCUUUCAAAUUAUCUAAAAUACCCUUAUUAAAUAUCUUGUUAUUAAUACAUUGUUAUUAAAUAUUAACCCACUACAUUGAAUACAUUGAGCUUUUCCAAUACUAACCAUUAGCUGUAACUGAUAUUAAUUGGCACUCUUCGUGAUUAGCAUAAGGGUAUUUUAGAAAAUUAUUAAUCUAAAUUUAUGUUUCCAACCAAAUUAAUUACACUUUCUUAAUCUGUGUGAAAAAAAAACUAAAACUAACAAAACGGGACGGAGGGUAAUAAACGUAACCACUUGAUCACGGUUUCACCACCUGUCCUAACUCCUGUGUUCUUACUCGUCCAAACUUGCCAACCCCAUCAUUUCCUUCUCAAUGUUCCCGAUGCGUCCAUUUCUUUGUGUUUUCUUCACAUGACAAUGACAAUGAUGUAUCGCAUUUAUUUGAAUCAUAUAGUUCAGAGCCCAGUAUUUGUUGCAGCAUCCCAUUCUUCUGGUAAUUUACAGUCGAAGGAUGGGGAAACAUUUCUUGCUUUGACGUGUUGGGUGAAUUUUCCUGCGUUAGAGAUGCAGUUUUCUUAGUCUUUGCCGUUAUUACGAUUAUUAAUACAAACUAGCUUUAACUCAAUUGAGUGCAUUGGAGGAGGUUGACGGAUUUCUUAUUAUUAUUAAACAUCCUGAGCCGUAGCAUUUGAAAUCUUAAUGCAAUCAAAGAUUCAAAGUCAUAUGCAUGAAUAGUUGGUGUGUGACAGUUUCGGGCCAUAAAGCAUCAUAAUUAGCUUGCUCAAUUAAGUCAUGAGACAAUGAAUUAAGGACAUUUCUCUUCGUAAAUAAAAUAACAGGGAUUACUUGUUGCUGUGUAGUAGUAGAGAGAUUUUGAUUAUUCAAAGAGGCAUCUUUAAAUUUGGUCUUAAGUGAUUUGCCAAUCAACUUAGCAAGAAAUUAUCCCCUUUCAUGGAAUAUAAUGUUUUACUCUUCUUUUUUUUUUUUCUGUCAAGAGAUAGAAACACACGCACCCAAUUAGAUUAGAAACAUUCGAAAGAUUAGCGGUUAAAUAACACAGUAAAAAAUAAUUAAAAAAAAACUCAUAAGAAAUCCACGUCCAGCCAAUUAGUGAAUAUAAUGUUCUACUUCACCAUGAUUUCAGUCAUCUCAUCCCCAUCUUGGGCUAUAUAUCCCGAACACUACUAGCUAUUGACUUCACUUGAUAGUCAAAACUUGAUGAAAUUCAAGAAGUGUCAUGUGCAAUUAUCUUCAAAUUUUCCUUUUUUUUUUGUCUUUUCCCGUACCAUGUGAAAUAAUAAAUUGAAAUAAAAUCAUUGUCUAGACAAGUCAAUAUUGUUUUUCUUUCUUUUUUUUUUUAAGGCAACUCAAUAUUGUUAAUCUGCAUAUUUAGUUUAACUACAGUAAUGAGAUCAUAGGUACCCUGAAAGAACCGACCGGGUUGGGCGAUGUGGGUUCCAACAACUCCGGAAGAGUUCUUUAAGAUUCGUCUUUUAGUGCCUAGUGCUCCUGCAACAAAGAUGAUGAAAUUCAGGACAGAUUCCGGAUCUUGAGGACACCUCACGUGCCUUUAUCAUAGACGAGCCCACACGAGAAAUUUCCUCCUCCCGCUGUCUUCUAGUACAUCCAUCCUUGUUUUCGCACUUUCAUCCCAUAUAUGGUUGGCCACUUGUAUUCUUUUUCUUCCUCUUCUUAGUUUUCUUCUUCUUCUCUCUUCCCCUCUCUCUCUCUCUCUCUGUAUCAAGAAAGACCUUUCUUUUAGCCCGACAUCUUUCCAUUGUUUUUACAGUUGCAGAUUUUAUGUGGGGUCUUUCUAUCUCUGCUCAAAGAAAUAGAGAGGUAAGUGUCGGUUUUGGGGUCAAUUUUAUGGUGUCUACUACUAUUUGAUUAUUAUGUUUUUAUCGCAUUUCUACUAAACUGCUGGGAUGAGAUUAGUCAUGUUCAAUUUUUGAUCAGCUGAAAGUCCUUUUUGGAUUGUCUAUUUGUCUUAAUGGGGUGGAAAGCUUGAAUCUUGAUUGCAGAGCAACAGAGGAAGAAGGCUGAAAAUCCUUAGCCUGUUAAUUGGGGUUUAUAAGUUUCUGUUAUUAUUUUAGGCAACAUUGAGCAUGGUUUUUUCUGAUAUUCGUGUCCUUAUUUGUCCCAGUGUAAUACUGGGUGUGUAGAUUUGACUCGUGAUGAACAGGAAGGAUAUCUACGUGACAUGCAUAUGGGCUUGAGAACAACUUUAAUUAAUUUCAUAGUAAUUCUCCGAGAAAUGAAUUAUCUUGUUGAUUUUGUAGCAAUUAGAAAAUAAUAAUAUUUUCCUAAGAAUAUUAUUUGGCCACUAAAUCAUAAUCAUGAACGCUAACCAUGUUAGAGUUGCUUUGAAAUUGCCAAUUCCAUUAGUUCUUCUCUGAAUAUGUUGUCUACAGUAUGUAAUUACUCUCACAACCUUAAAUAUUAGACAAAAAUGGUCUUCAUGAUAAGCAUUUUUCAAAUGGAUAAUUGGUGAAAUUAUUGCCAUUGAGUGUACUGAUGCUUUUUGAGUGUUUCCUGUUCACUGGAAUUGGUGGAUGUCGAUUGCUCUUGACACUACAUUUUUGCAAUCUUUUUUUUUUAAAAUUUUUUCUAGCAGGGGACGGGUGGGAUUUAAGAAGCGGGGAGGGGACGGGGAUUUGCGAUCAUAUUGUUGUUCACUAUGUUAAUUCUUUUCAAUCAUACUGCAGUCUUAUCUCAUUGUAGAUAAACACAUACCUUAUCCUUCUUGUUCCACAGGCCUAAGGGUUAUCUGGUCUGGUGAUCGUACUUCUUGCUCUAUCUCAGCUUAAUCUUGAAGUGGCACCAAGUCAUUAAGUUGCUCAGCAACAUAUUCUUGGCAUUACCAGUUGAUCUUUGAAAGGGAGAAACCAGGGAAUGCAGAAAGAUGUGCUUGAGCAUCUCACAGCCUCCCUCCGAUGUUGACGAGGUUUUGACCUUUGCAAAUUCUCAUUCCUCCAUCCAUGAUGGUAUUGCUACCUUAGAUCAAAUAAUUGCAUCUAAUGCCAAAGGAAAACUUGGUCCAAGAAGUUUUAAAGUGCUGGUAUUAUUAAAGCAUGACAUAUGUGAGGACGGGUGAGCGAUAUCAAGUAUCUAACACUCCUGCUUACGCAAUUUAUGUACGGCAUCAACAGGAGAAAAAAUAUUUAAUCAAAUAACUGAUUUUGUAGCUUAAAAAUGGAAAAUACAGUGAGUGUAUUGAUGGAAAGAUACGAAUUAGGUAGAUUACUAGGACAAGGCACAUUUGCUAAGGUUUACUAUGGUAGGAUAUUAGUACUGGACAGAGUGUAGCCAUUAAAAUGAUAGAUAAGGAGAAAAUAUUGCGGGUUGGGCUUAUUGAUCAGAUCAAGCGAGAAAUAUCUGUUAUGAGACUUGUUAAGCACCCUAAUGUUGUUCAACUUUAUGAGGUCAUGGCCACUAAGACCAAGAUCUAUUUUGUAAUGGAAUAUGCCAAAGGGGCGAACUGUUUUACAAGGUUGCUAAAGGAAAGCUGAAGGAAGAUGUUGCACGAAGAUACUUUCAACAGCUGGUUAAUGCAGUUGAUUUCUGCCAUAGCAGGGGGUUUAUCAUCGGGAUUUGAAACCAGAAAACUUACUUCUAGAUGAGAAUGAAAAUCUGAAAAUAUCUGACUUUGGUUUAAGUGCCCUAGCUGAAUCAAAACGCCAAGAUGGGCUUCUUCACACCACUUGUGGUACUCCUGCAUAUGUUGCUCCUGAGGUCAUUAAUAGGAAAGGAUAUGAUGGGGCCAAAGCUGAUGUUUGGUCAUGUGGAGUGAUUUUAUUUGUUCUAUUGUCUGGUUAUCUUCCAUUUCAUGACUCAAAUUUGAUGGAGAUGUAUCGGAAGAUUGGCAAAGCAGAGUUCAAGUGCCCCAAUUGGUUUCCACCAGAAGUGCGCCGUCUGCUUUUGCGCAUAUUGGAUCCAAAUCCGAUACUAGAAUCUCAAUUGCAAAAAUCAAGGAUCAUCCUUGGUUUAAGGGGGAUUGAAUUCAAAAUUAGUCAAGCCCAAUAUAGAAAACAAGGAAGUUGCUUCUUCAAGUACAGAUGCAGGGACCAGAUCCCUUGAGAAUAGCAGUAGAGCCACUGAUGGCACACAAGACCUGUUGGCACUUACCAACCUAAAUGCGUUUGAUAUCAUCUCUUUUUCUGCUGGAUUUGAUCUAUCCAGACUGUUUGAAGAAAGUUCACGAAAGAAAGAAGCCAGAUUCACCUCUUGGCAACCAGCAGCUGUCAUAAUCUCAAAGCUGGAAGAAGUUGCCAAGCGUCUGAAGCUAAAGACAACAAAAAGGGAUCGGGGAUUGUUUAAACUUGAAGGAAAAAAAGAAGUAGAAAGGGAAUAUUGUCCAUUGAUGCGGAGAUCUUUGAGGUCACUCCUGAGUUUCAUUUGGUGGAGAUGAAGAAAUCAAGUGGAGAUACACUGGAAUAUCUGAAGAUAUUAGAUGACGGUCUACGACCUGGUCUGCAGGAUAUUGUCUGGGUUUGGCAAGGUGAACAAGAACGCAAGGAGUCAGAACAGCAGGAGCAGCAAAUUCAACAUCGACAGCUGGAAACCCAAGCUUCGGAGGACCAGCAACAGCAGCAGCAGCAGCCGCCGCAGCUGCUGAUACUGCAGGAUAAGUUACCUUGAGUCUGUCUUUGUAUUCCACAUUGUCAUGUAUUUUUACGGGUUCAAGGUGUCCCUUUUCCCCGACUCCAAAUCCCUUACUUUCGGUUGUAUGUUGCAUAUUAAUGCAUGUGUAAAUAUAGCCUAUGCAUUUGUAGACCAACGUCUCAAUCUUGAAGUAUUUUUAUGGGUACCUUCAACCAAUUGUUGCCACUGCAUACCACUGUUUAUGUUAAGGAAUCCCAGUUUUUAAUUUAUUUAUGGUGACUUUCAGGCCUUUUAUUCAUAUUAAGACAUUUUCCUUUGAACCAAUGGCAGGCCAAAUUUUUUUUUUUUUUAAAAAAAAGGACCUGACGGGCAGUAUUUGCUGUUUCAUGCACUGGGGCUAUAGUAUUAAUGGAUUCCGGGUUGAUAAGGAAUGAUCUGAUAUCCAUUAAUCAGUGUGCCUCGAGUAUCAGCCUUUCGUAGAAGAGUCUAAUCGGAUGUCCCACAAAUAGCUUUUUUUACAACUGAACAUAGACACAGCAACUAAAUUGGGCAAGAGCUAGUUUCCUUUUGUCCUUGCUGACGAAGUAAGAACAAUCCAGAAAUAACUCCUGUUUAGAGACGAAAUACUUCUCUGUAAGCAAACCGUAUGGUCUGGCCGAUUCAAUAGUUUGUCCUAGCUCUGAGGGAGAUUCGGUUCUCAAAUCUCAAUUUGGCUAGAAUUAUCCGGUUGAGGACAUUAUGCCAAUUUCUGCAGGUUUAUGACACAUGCAAGUAAAUGAAUAUAAAAUCUGAUAUUAUCAAUCAGACGUGGUCACGUCUUUCCAUGAACUUCAGUAGAAUACUGAUUUCCCUUUCGAGCACUAGUAUGAAGCACAAGUAUGUUACCACAUAACAUCUCAUUUUGACAACAACUGCUUAUGCUCUGGUUUUCAUGUCGUAUGGAAGAUCAUGCUUGGGGCACUCGAGAACAAGCUGGGCAGCCAAAAUGUCCUUUGGCUUGACAUUUGGUGCAUGAGAUGGAUAAUUCUUUGGACUUGACCCUGAAGGACUGGUAAGCACUAUCUACUGGAUUGAGACUGAACGGACCUCCUCGAGUGAUCGAACCAGAUCCCUUGCAUCUUGAGCAUGCUAUCAACCUCAAAUCACCACAUCUCUUGCACAUGCCCAAUGAACUGCUUGUCCAAGAAAAUGCACAAAGAAAUCUUACCGGUGUCAUUCAUCAAAUAGCUAGUCACUUCAAUUUCAGCUAGAAUAACACUUCCAUUUCUCUAAAUUGAAGUAGUAACUAGCUAAAGCUUUUCCUGAUGGUGGUUGCCAGAUUAUGGACGCUAUGUUUCACAGUGGUUGAACAAAAGCACACGUAAACAUUGGCAAAAACAAAUAGCCAUCAAAAAAAUUUACCAUGCAGAAUCACGAUUAGUACUAACAACCUCAUCCUUGUCAACCUACUCAUCUAGUAGGUUUUACAGCAGAGAUAGAGAGAGCAGAAUGUGACAUAUGAUAUAAGGCGAAAAAGGGGGAAAAAGAAAAUAUUACCUACGCUGGGAAGCUGCAAUUAAAGAGUCAAUCUUGGGAGCUGAAAUUGUGGCAAAAAGUAGCAAAGCACCAACACCAUACCCUGCUAUUUCAUUCGCGGUGACGUGCUCAAACAUUCUGUUGCGGUGAUCCUUUUUUAUGUUGCGACUAAGUUGUACCACGAACAGGUUCUGUCUGAUGACUGUAAUACUGAGAUAGGAACUUAAUUUCCGGCGAGGGAGAAGUCCGGGGCUUCUAGCUGCUGGUUGGAGGAGGCCGGGGAUGGCUACUGUGGUUUUUCUCUUUGCUCGUCUUCUGUAAGGCGCAAGCCCAUACUAUACUACUGUAUCAAAUACUGUGCCAUGCUGUGCAGCGUGUUGUCUGCGAUCUACACUAAAGAGAACGAUGGCCACAAGUCCAUCAUCCCUUAUCCACAACGCAAAAAAAAAAUGGUUGACUUCUUCGGUGAGGGAAGGUGAAACGGGGAUGGUGGGGUUUAGUUAUUUCUUGAAAUCCUAGGGGUGCAAAUGAAAUUAUGGCAAAACCUCGGGCUCUAAAUUUAGUUAAUCCUUCAUCAUUAUCAGGUUAUCAAUAUCGAUUUUGAUGGAAAUUCCCUGGUAAAUGAAUUAGUAAAUGUGAUUGAACCAGGCAAAAUCCUAUGCGCUGCAGAUUUCAUGUGAAAUGACCGCUUAAAAUAGUGAUAAAUUGUCAACUGUCGAGAACAACACUUGUCAAGGAAUUAAAUUGUCAGGAAUGACACUCAUCUAGCGAUCAGCUGUUGUAUAAAGCAGGAAUGCCAUUUUGCACUCACAUUCAUUCAGGUACCAUGGCAAACCCCCAGUAACAGAUCUCUACGAAAUCCAAUUUCCCUGGGUAAGAUUCAGAUGGAUGAAAAUAAGAAGUCGCAAAAUAAGUGUGUAAGAAACUCAAUUUAUUUCUGGAUCGCAUAUAUUAUUUGCAUCAUCCAGCAGUAAUUACAUUAUUCUAAGACAUAUUUCUGUAUUUAAACAAACAUGGGGAAUUGGUCAAGUCUAUUAUUUCAGGACAUCCAACAGAGAGUCUCUUCUUUAUUCCCUGUACUCACAUUGUAGCAAGGUGAGGGUGUAGACAAAUCUAUUACCUCAACUUCGGAUGAGGUGCAAGGGAGUUCAAAUUUAUUCAGAGUUACAUUUUGUACAGAUUGUUGCCUGGGCAGUUGAGGGUCUGCGACGUUAAAUUCAUCAUACAAUCUGAAUGUUCCUGUAUCUUCAGCAAUUCUUGUUGCGUUACUGCAGCCGAAGACCAGAAAGUCGUCGAGCUGGAAUGACUGCUUCUGGGCCUCUUCUUUGCUAAUUUGCAAGUUCUUUGGCAGUUCGAAGACGCUGCUUUCUGUUGACGUUUGUUGUUCGUGAGCAAUUGCUUCAGUCCAGUUAUACAGACCGAGAUUUUCAGUUUCUUUGAAGCCAUCUUGAACAAGUUCAAUAUUGCUCAGCGGUUGUGCAUCUGCUGAUCCAUCCUCUGCAGAUUCCUCAGAUCCACCACUGUGCUCACAGUCGUCACCCAGCAGGAUCCCAGUCAUCAUUUUCCCCCGCACAUAAAUUGCCCCCUGUAUAGCACGGAAGCUCAUCCAUAGAACCAAACUGUACCCUCGUUUGUUCCGGCAGGCUAGGGCAACCAGAUGCGAGCGUCAUGUAUUUUGUGGAAAAGUAGUUUACUGUGAGAUUUAAGCUGUACACAGGAGCAACACUUUAGCCAUCAGUAAAUAACCAAAAUUCAGUCAGUAUUUCAAGCUUAGCACGUCUAGGAAUCCUGUAAUACCUCUGCAAGAAGGAAGGGUGAGCAUAGUGUAGGCAAGUUUUAUCUUAUUUGCAAGCCCAGAAAGAGAUUUGAAGGUAGCAGCUGCUUUUCUUACCGCCAGUGAUCCUAGUGGAUGCUGCCAGGCCCACUCAACUGCAAUUCGAUUCAUUAGACAGCAAUUAGUAUGCUGCCUCAUUUCAUAAUUAAGGCAAAAAGAACUGGCUCUCAUGUUAACAUCAUUCUAGGCCCAUCAAUGAUAAAAAAAGUUGGUACUUGCUGUGGGUUGCAAAGCUAUUAGAAUUCAGAAGUGUAACUCAACAGAGAACUAUGGCACGAAGAGGGCAAAUCAGAGAGGAGAACAAAAGAUGGAGCUAAAAAGAACAAAUCUAUUGCAUAGAAUCCACAAUCUGCAAAACUGUCUUUGCCUACGCUAACCAAGCGGUCACAGAAAAAAACUCAUAAACACUAAUCUUACGUCCACUCACCAGUAUAGCACUCAAUUUAGCAGCUUAAAAUUUUUUAAAAAAAUGAACUUUAAAACAAAUAGUCCAAGGCGUGUCAACGACAUUUACAAAAGGUAACAUCUAACUCACUGCUAGUGCAACAGAAUUGAAUCGUGUAACAUGUACCUGGAGAGCGGCAACGUUGGUGGGGAAGCCAUAAAUGCAAAGGACCAUCUCCCACGGUCGCCUCUUUUGGUCCUCCAAGCACCGCUCCCUAUCUCCCCGUUGUGUUGCCUUAUUCUGCGACGAGGAUUCACUGUAAACCUACAGCACCCACCCAACACUCACGACAUUAAAUAUAUGCUAAAUUGUAUUCAAAGAAAAUUGAGAAACUUGGCAACCGAUCACUAAGCAAUUUCCCUGAUUCAAAACACUCCCAAGAUAAAGCUAGGGAACCAACUCAAGUUUCAAAAAUGGAUCCAGAAAUGACGGGGAUCCAAACCUGCUACAUACCCGAUAUAAGAGGAACCUUUGAAUCUUGGGGAAAGCGAAGUUAGUAGAUAUACGCGUAAAACUUGCUCCCUCCUUUUCCUGCUCUUUCUUCUUCUCCUCCUGCUUCACAUAAAGUCGGUGGCGUUUGAUCAUUUUCUCCUUGUUCGGGAUUAGGGUUUCCGGUGUUUCUUUUCGCCUUUCCUUCUCCCAUCUCUCUCCUCUCUCUGUUAUGGAUUUGCUAGCUAUCCUUUGGAUCAGGCGUAAUUCGACCGUUGUGAUUGGAUCAAUAUUUUGAAUUCUGCGUCCCUUUUUCCAAUAAGGAUCUGACUGGCUCCAAUAGCGGGCUAACGAACAUGAGAACCUUUUUUCCUGUUUACGCCUCACGAUUCCCAGUUUAAAAAGCCCAUAGUUCGUGUACCCUGUAAAUUUGGGUUUGAACCGGUUUGCUUUAUUUGUUAUUAAUUUUUUAAAAUACCCUCAUGGUCAACAUACUAGUGCAAUGGUUCUAAACUUUUUUUUUUUUUUCGCAACGAUAACAUUUGCCUACUCUAGCCUAAUCUAAGAAGAGAGGAACCCAACAGGAUCUUUCAAUCGAAGGAAGUCACAGUUAAGUGGCAAGGUGAGAAGCAAAGGUUAAACCUUACCUCCCACUCCCACUCCCACCGAGACUUAACAAGAGCCCAAGAGGCUGUUGGCUGCAAUGGUUCUAAACAAUUAACUCCUGAAUAUGUCUGUCCCGGAGAAAAAAAAAUUUUUGUUUGAAACAGCAGGGUAUCCGUAUGGAUGUCCAAUUUCAAUGUCAAAAUUGAAUUGAAAAACUUGCACUGCUCGGAUUCUGGAAGACUGGAACUCCAUUGUACGGCAGCGUCUGCGCAUGAAAUCUACAAGUCAAUCUGAGUUGCUUUUCUUGAAACACGCCAUCAUUAAUUGAUCAUAUCCGGUUUUAAGUUAAGGAUUCAAAUAAUUUGUACCAUCCGUCAUCUUCGUAUAGAUUCCUUCACCGGCUAGAUUUAAUCUAUGUUAAAGAGUGAAGGGAGGCAAAGCUUCGAUACUGGAAUUGCAGACAUUUUAACAAUUUUCACCCAGAAAAGUAACGUCAGAUGGCUCGGGUUUUGGGGUUCAACCGAAAACUUGUUUCAGCUAUUAAAGAAGGUUAAAAAGCAGACCAGAUAAAAUUAAUCGUAGCCCAUAUGAAUCAACCGGGGUUAAAAGAAAAAAAUUGAACCAGUCGAGUUCUGAACCCCUUAAACCUGAUGCCUCAGCCUUGCUAAGCAAACAGACCGGUAAGCAAUCAAAGGCAGGCUAAAAAUGUCAAGAAGAUUAUCUUCUUGAGUACUGAAAGCGAAAAUAUCCAGAGACAAGGACGAGAAAAAAGGCAGAACAUAAGAUGGCAUUGGUCAAGGAACAUGUCUGCACAAUGCCUCUUCCAAAAAAAGUUUAAAAACGUACCAACACCCAUUUAUUAACAGGAAGGGAUUCGAUUCUGUCUACAAAAUUAUUAAUGUCGUCCUUCACCCCUACAUUCAGCAGCCUGGACCAAGUAAUUCAUUUCACAAACUGACAUACGUUUCCUCCUAUAUUUCUGACAAUCCAUCCAUUGCACUAAUUUUUUCGGAGACAUUUUAUUAACGUUUUAAACCAAAUUGUGGAGAAUAAACCAAUCUUCUUUGCUCUAAUGUCAAGCAAAUCUUAGAUGUAUGGCAAUCCAUUUUCAGGCAUAAGAUCAAACAAAAACACACAUAUGCAAAUUUAAUUCCCAGUAUGUUCGAAAAGGAAUUCAUCUAUCUAAGUUUCAGCCUGUCAACAAGAUCCAUAAAGAUUACAAUUUCCUAAAACACGUUUUUGACCUUGCGAUGUUACAACAUAGAUGUACUUCAGAUAUACCAUUUGCUUGUAGAUGCCCAUUCCCAUCAAAGAAAGCAAACCCCUACAAACAUUACCAGCGCGAUGUCUUUAAUAGAAAAGGGGGUUAAACAGACAUGCUGUAACGUAAUCUACACAUCUGCUUGUGGACACAGUGACUAAUCUUAAAUAUGUUGACUACAACACUCGUAAUCAAUCACAAUUUAUCAAGAUGUUCAUCAGAAUGCGCCUGGUUUAACUGGAUCUUUGCAGCUCUUAGAGCCCUAAGAGGUCAACAAGAAAACAAUUGUAAAUGAUGUUUCCCAGAAGACAACCUUUACAAGCAAUGAUCCUAACAGAACAACUUUUACAAGUAAUUAUCCUAAUUUUCCUGUUGACAAGCUUCUUGCAUGAAUAAACGUUCUCAGAUACAAGACCAGAGAACAUUCAUAUCCAGUGAAAAGCUACAAAGUUUGACAAAUUUCCAAGACAUAAUGGAUCUCUACAUCUAUAAAGUUCGAAAAUCCAUAUACUCAAGAAAAGUCUUCUGAAGUUAUCCAGAGAUAGGAAAUCAACUAAGAUCUCUCAAUGUAAUAACAACUAGACACAUGCAAACCAUAUUUUGACAUGUAAAAGCUUCGUCUACAGGAAGAUUUACAAUAGGACAACUUACUAGGUCUUUUAUCAGCUUCAUACAGGAAAGAAGCAUCAAUAAGUGGAGUUUCCUUCUACCUAGUACACAACUGAACAAGUUCAGAAAAUGUUUAGAGGAACAAUUACUACCAAAGCAGCCAUAAGAUUGAGUUCUAAAGACGUUUAGCAUUAUUGACUAAUGGGUUUGAUUUCUGGUUAUCCAAAGCGAAUGAUCAAUCACUGAGGCUUAACUAAACUGAAGCCUCCAUCCAAACAUGUUCCUUCCAAAGUCAACCAACUUCGAUAUCAAGGAAGAAAGAGAACAUUGCUCAGGCUCAACUAGACAGUAAGUUCAAUAUAUCCAUAAACGGCCGACCAAGAAAGAAAUUCCCAACACACAACGAACAAGAAUAAUAUGCAUAUUAUUACGAAAAAUAACCUACAUUCCACACAGUAUUCUCGUGGUAUUUUCAUAACAGUAAAGCUUUACAAUUAAGAUGAUACAGACUCCUAAACUCGUAGCCCUAAUUGAAAAGCAAAAUUACAAAUGGAAAGCGAACACAGUCCAUAGCAUACAAUACAACAAGUGGAGUAACAAAUCACAAAACCUAAUCCCACCCAAUGAUCAACCUUUACCACCGGGAUCAUCAGUCGGCCUUUUCAGAAGCUGGAGAAGAGGACUCGGAGCCCACCAAAUUCCUCCACAAAUAUCUUCCACUUGCCAUGUCCACGCACGUCCAAAACCCUUUCCCAAUUGCCCCACAUACCUAUUAAUUCAGAAAGAGAGAAGGGGUUAAAAAUUUACAUAAACCCAAGAUAAUUAGACAAUAUGUAAAGAAAAGGAAAAAGGAUGAAAGUUAAAGGGGGAACCUUGGAGGAAAAAGGAGGAGACUUUGAGAGGUUAUCUGGGGAAUUGCAUUCUACAGUGUUUAGGGUGUCGGUGUCGGAGUCAAGAUCGGUGGUGGGUUGAGAUUUGAGAUUUCGGAAGACGAAGAAUCCGGCAAGAGUAGCAGACAGGAAGAUUAGGAUAAUUCUCAAUGGACACAUUCUUCUUUUUCUUUUUCCUUUGCUUUACUUUUCUUAGCCUAUCUUUUGUUUUUCUUCCCUCCUUUGCUGCUUUGCUUUGAGAGGUUUUGAAGAGAGAGAGAAAGAAAGACCGGGAAGCGCAGGCCCUUUCCGGAAGGAGGUGGGUAAGAAGAAAAGAUUUGGUCGCCACCUCCACACCAGCGACUUCUAAAUGAUCAAGUGGAUUCAUAUGAUCACAUAUUAUUUAUUAUUUAUAUAGAACAUUCUUUUUUUUUUUUUUUGGGUACGAAUUUAUGUAGAACAAUUAAUGAUCAUAUUAGAAUUUCCUAGGGUUAUCCAUAAAUCAUUAGUUGUUUAUAUUUUCAUAUUACUAGUAGUUAAUGCAUAGUAUGAUUGGGUCUGACUUUUCUUUAUUUGUGGAUUUGGUCUCACUCUCGGUGUUAAUUUGUUCAUGACAAAAAAUUUGAGAAAAUCUUUUGAGUAAUAAGUGCCUCAAGAACACCUUUUUUUAAAAAAAAAAAAAUCUUUUACUUAUACAUUACUAUCUUUUUCUAGAAUGGAAGUAUUCCCAAAAGGGAUGGCUUUCUAUUGGGAGGUAUGUAACUAUUAUAGACUUUAAUCUCAACUGAUUUAGUUUUUUUUUAAUUGGUGAGAAAGAAUUUAAAAAAAAAAAAAAAAAAAGAGGGAACAAAAAUUGCAAUGAUGGAGAUUGACUGGGAUGGCAUUCGCCUUUCUUUUUUUUUAAAUUUGAAAAAAAAAAAUUUGUUAUUCCACAACUACCAUAAUAAUUCUUUUCCAAGUGUUAGUUGGCGACUUUCCAUUAAUUCAUCUUGUAACAAAACGAAUUUGAAUGGAGUUGACAAAAUAGGGUAAUGGGAACCAAUCAGCUUCCAAGAACGUGUGCAUUUACCAGCAUGAUUUUGCUUGCUAGUAAUGGACAUGGAGGCCACCAAGGCAUAUCAGAACAGAAGUUGGCAGUCACGUAUGUCAAAAGCGCGGGAGAGAAGAAUAACAGCGUAGGCACGAAGACAAGUCGACGGGCAAGGGUUGACCCAUUCCGGAAAAAUCCCCGAUUACUUUCCUAACGCACACGCAGCUCAUUGAUUGGGGUUUAGGUGAACGACUCUCUAAAUUAAUUUAUCUUUCCUUAUUCUUCUUUUUUCCCCCCCCCCCCCCUUCCUUUUUCUCAAUUGGACAAAUUUAAUAGCGGAAAUUUCGUUCAUAAAACACAACAACCGUCUAUAAAAAGCAUGCAUGCAUAUUUUUUAGUGAAAUGGAGGUGGAGCUGCAUGAACACUGACCGAACCCAGUCAAUGGAGACUUUUUAGUGCAGUAGUGGGCAACUAUCUCCAAAUGGAACAAAUCCACACAAAUUGAAUUGAUUGACAAAAAAAUGCAUCAUCACCGCCAAUGGUCCACCCGUUGUUGAAUUUUAUGAACUUCUCACGUCACGCUCAUCAUUCAUCAAUAUGCUACACAGACACAACUUCAAUGAAAUAUGAUGAUGGUGAGUUGUAACAGCUCAACCAAAACUUUUGACAGAGCAUCACCAAUGAAUGAUAAUUCAAUUCCCUGCCCUCCUAAUAUCAUCAUUCUCUCACCUUAUCUCCAUUCCAGAAUUUUGCACCAUAAUCCUUUAGUGUAUCACGAAUUUAUCAUAACACUGCUGCUACUUUUACAUCAUCAUCUUGUUUUUUUAGACCAAAUAGAGUUAGUUUCAUGGAAGAGGUGAAUGUCAGAAUAUCAAAAGUUCAAAACAUUAGAAUCCAUUGUAGUUUUUAUGGAAAUUGAACGGAAUUAAAAUCACUACUGACUUUACCAUGAGCAGCUACGAUAUUAGUAUAAGUUUCUUCCUCUUGACCGAAUCUUGAUGAAGUAUUGGGGCUAAAAAGAGAACUUGAAUCUUGACUUUUUCACACUCGAAACUGUUCAGAAUUCAAACGCUCUUCAAUGACCUACAGCAACAAUUUCCAAUGCGCCUUCAACAUCUGCAACCAAAAUUUUUCUUGGUUAGACGUUCAACCAACAUAUCAGCAAUCUGCGGACAUUACAUGAGCCUUUAUUCAUUCACAUACCAACCAAUGUCAAGAGUCACUCAUAGAUCAAGACGACCAAAUUAGUCAAUGCCAUACUACUAAUAUGCUUGGAAAGUAAAGGUGCACUUGAGCAGUAUCUCCUAAGGCUUCACAAUGCGAGCAAUCUUAGCAAGAACCGUCCUUAAGCUUCGAAUACCAGCUCCAGUUUUUGAGCUUACCAUCAUCUGCAAUAAAUCCAAUGUCAAAAAAAACAGGGAUGCUUUUUCAGUGUGAUAAAUACAGGAUGAAAGAAGCUAGAUUUAUUUCAUGUUCACUAUUACCACAGGUUGAACCGCAGACUUUUUUCCUUGAGGUUCUGCAGCAAACAGAGAGAGCUUAUUUUAGUCUCAGCAAAGAGUAGAAAAACAUUUGGAAGUAAAAGGGGAAAUUAUUUCUGCUGCAUUUACCUCUUCUAUUUGCAUUGACCGACGUGCCACAUCAAUUGGGAAAACCAUAUCUGUCUUUGUCAAAACAAUCUGGUACUUGGUUUGCGACCUGCACAUUAACCAUACAGAAGAAAGUGGAUUUACAGGUUGAGCCAAAAUCUAACUUGAAAAAAGAUAUAUCCCUUUACAGAAACAACUAAUGACAGAGCAAGUCCAAGCUGAAACCUCAAAAACAUUCAUUAUGUGGAGCAAGUCCAAGGUGAAAACUAAAUUCUUGUAAAAAAUGUCAUCCACUAUUACACAUUUCCAUCAUAUCAAUAAGUUCAUGAUUGGAGUAAGUCCAAGGUGAGACCUCAUAAACAUUCAUAUAUGUGUCCUUUACAUUUUAUUUUCCUAAAACCACAAUUCUUGUAAAAAUCUCAUCUAACAAUUUGAAUAACAUGAGGGAAAGACCAAACCAAGCAGAAGAUGACUGUAUAGGGAGAAAUUUUUAAUGAGCAGAUAAUAUGCUUAUUGUACCUUUCCAUCAGAUCAAUAAGUUCAUGAUCCCUUGGUUUCAUUCCCCAUUUUGUAUCAACAAGAAGACACACUCUCUUUAGACCAACUCGUGUAGACACGUACUCUUUCACCUAGAGAUUGGAAGUAUAUUAAAGACAUUCAAACAAAGCAAAUUACAGCCAAGGUAACAAGGGAAUCAUACAGCUAUAACCCAGGAAAAGAAGAUCAUUGAUAUAGCUGCACUGCUGAAAAGGCAUUAUCUAGUUCAUGAACAAUGGCAACCAGCAAUUACUAAAACUUAGAUUUAAUAGAACAAGUAGGGUAAUUACCACAAAAUAUAACUUACAUUUAACAUUUCCAGCUAAAGACUACUAACAAAAAAAUUAUAUCUCUAACCCAUACCUUCAACCUUUCGCGUAUGAGCAUUUAAUAAGGCACUAAUUGAGAAGAAUGGAAAGAAUCCAGAACAGGAAAUGCAGUAUAAACUGCAGUUCCAUUUUAAGUGAGUACUAAAACGACUAUUAAAGUUCAAGGCAAUACCCUGCUUCAAACCAAUUUUUUUUUCAAACACCUAUGACCAAAAUAAUGCAUUGAACACUAAUUUUGCUAAAAAGUAAACAGUGGCAUAGUGUUCUAAAUGAUAAGUCUAAAUCUGAAUCAUAAUUGCGAAAUAUUCACAAUGACCUAACUCGUCAGUGAAUAAUUGCAACAAUUGUAUCUGGAUAAAACCAAGCAGACUAAAGAGUGGAAUAGGAAUUUGUAAAGAAGCUAAAAGCCAUUUGCAUACUCACAAGCUCCUCCCAAGCUUCCUUGACGUCUUCUUUUGCAUACGCAAAUCCGUAUCCAGGCAAAUCGACUAAAGAUAGCUUUGGUCCAAGUUUGAAGAAGUUUAUGGUCUACAUGAAAAACAUAAGCUGAUAAUAUGCAUGUGCAACUUUUAAGUUUAAUCCAAGGACGUCAUAAAUGUAACACCUGAGUAAGUCCAGGCUUGUCUGAUGUCCUCACAACACCCCACUGUCUAGUUAAUGCAUUCAGUAAAGAUGACUUUCCUACAUUCGACCUCCCUGAUAAAAAAUUGAGUUCAAUGAAACACUACAACUAUCAUAUUAUCAAAAUAGUCUCAAAGGCACAGCUCCAUAAAUUUACUAUACAACAAUGAAAUAACUAGAGCAACCUCAAUAGGCAUGAGAAACAUGAAAAAGUAAUAGUAAAGAGAACUGAAAAAAAGAAUUUUAAUGCAGAUAAGAGAAGUCAGCAAGAUUAUCUGACAGAAAGGAAAUAAAUAACACUCUUUCCUACAACCACUUCAAAAACAAUGUUUAAUUUCAUCAUGUUUGAGAAAAUACAGGAGCCAAAAAAGCAUAUAUCUUGUCUGACAUGCUAAAAAGUCAUACGAAACUAAUCUCAAACAGAACAUUCUCACAACAGAAACAUCGUAACCAAAAAGCUUUUGUCAUGUUAACAUAAAUUAGACAAGCAACUUUCAUCAUGCAAACCUAUGUGUCUUGUACAAUGGCUUUAAUGUGGAGCAGUAUGCAUUUGAUGUUUUCUCAUACAACUUACACAGUUGUUAUGUCCUAAUACAGUUCUAUGGUGCCAGCAGAAAGUGCACUCACCAUAUCAUAUAAACCCAUAUCAUCUUUACAUUAAUCAGCUACUGAAAGGCCAAUUUAUGGAUGACAAAAUUACUUUAUUCAAACCAUAAAUAAGCAGAAGAGUUCACAAAGAAGAUGAAAAAAAUUUUCCAUGAGAUUUACCUGCAAAUGCAAUCUCUGGAAGUUCAGAAGGAGGAAAUGAUGAGGAAAUCUUUGCAGCAGCAUAAAAUGUCAAUUUAUUUCUAAAUACCUGACCAGAAAAUUGAACCGAGACAGAGAAAAUCGAAAAAGUUAAUCCGCAGAAGUAAAUUCUUUCCUUGCAUAGUUAACACGGAUCCACCUAGCUAUGCUGUAUUUUCCUUCAACCCAUCCCUCAACAGAAAAGGAGUUCAAUACCAGUUAAAAACCCCAUGCAAUACAUGACAUAUGAACAUACCGUUUCUUCAAUCCUUUCCCUUUCAGAGCUUGAUGAAUAGGGAAUAUUGUCUAAAGGAGCAGAAAGCUCAGUAUUGUAGCCAGCCCUCCUAAAUUCAAUUUCUCGUCUUCGGCCUAAUAACUGUAUAAGAAUUGAAAAUCACUUUAUUCAUAAUUUUAUCUCUGAGUAGGCUAAGUAGAGUUUGACAAAAUAUAGACUUUGGUGUUAGUAUUCAAGCAUAGAACGUCUAAAUAGGUAAAUUACAUUGUCUUCGACAAAGGAAAGGAUAGAGGGGCUAGGAACUAUUGCUCGAAAUUGUGCAUUUCUGGACAACUCCAAAACACAAGUUUUUGAGUCAUCUUCCUUCUUCUUUUUAACCUGAUCUGGAAGGUAAACAAGAGAAUAAGUUAGAAAGAGAUGAACAACACUUGUAAACAGCUCAGAGUUCUAAAAAGAGCCAAGAUACAGAUUAUUAUGAAGACGUAUGAAUGCUUGAUCCAAAUGGAUGGGACAAACACACAUAGCUUGAAUCACAUAUAUAAUCAACAAUAGUUUUAAACUUCACCUAGCUCAGAUAAAAGGAUUUACUUACAAUUUCUGAGUUUCUGCAGCAAAUUUUGCAACUUCAGAAAGUAGGUAGAACCCACCUUAUCUAAUUCAAAAAGUUCAAGUUCAAAUUUCCUUUCAAGUAGUUUAAGUUCAAUUAGAGUGACUGAAUGACAUAUUGCGCUGCCAAGAGCAAGAAGCAGUAAUUUAGUCCUUAACCUGCACAAAUUUCACAUAGAGACAAUGGCUUGAUAUGGACAGCUAAUAAUUCUUCUUGUGUUUUCAACAAUGUAUACCAAUAUGUCUGUGAGUAUACCAAUAACUAUACCAAUAUGUCUUUCCCUUCCUUAAUUACCAGCACCAGCCCUAACAAUGUAAGUGGUCCUACAUUCCAAAUGUAUCCAGGAAAACCUAACUCAAUGUUAUUUGCAUGAACCCCGUUGACAUUAAAAUAUAAUAAGAAAGAGGGAAAUAGCGAUAAGCAUGUGCCUAAAGCAUCAUUUUGAUGAACAAAAAAUGAACCUAUAAAAAAAAUGACAUCUCAAGAUAUGUCUGUGGGUGUAUGUUCGCAUUAGUGUCGAGGGAGAGUGAGAAGGAGGAGACAAAGUGUAUCAAGUUACUGACUAUUAAUAGCUGCUCCAUCAUCGAGCCUCUUAUUUGAUGUAUCAUGAGGAUCUAGCCUGAUCCUUCGCUUUUUCUUCUUAGGCUUUUCAUCCAUUACUUCUGAAUCAUCAGUGAUAUUUUUCUUGUACUGCACUUUCUUCUUGGAAGGUCUUUCAGGAGAGCCGACAGCAUGUUUGCCAUGGUUCUGCUCCAUUUGCUUUGUUACGUCGGAUUUGCUUUUAGCAAUUUUCUUCAGCUUAUCAUUCCUAACUCCUUCAACUUCAACAUCUUUCAGUUUAUCUACAGCCUUUACCUUGGCUAUUGACUUUUUCUUGCCCGCCAACUCACUUUCCCUGGAUUUUCCUCUUCCAGCCAAUGAACCUUUUCUACUCAAAUCUCCAAACCCAGAGGAGUUUCCUUUUGUUGUCCGCUUUUCUUCAUGAUAAUGAUCAUUAAGCUUAUUCUUCACGAUUCUAGAUGAAAACCUUCUUGCUGGGAAUCCUACAUUGUCAUUGGACACUCUUUCCUCGUCUGGAGGCUGAUCAGCAUAAGUUCUUUUUCUUUUUUAUCAGAAUUCGAUGGCUUACAACCACUAUUUCCCUUAGUCACGUAUCCAUUGCUUACACCAUUAAUCUUUGAUUUGAAACUUCUUUUUCCAAACACCCCUUGCUUUGUCACUUUACUCUGACUAGGAUGAGAAGCACCUGUAGUUCUAUUCCCUCCAGUUUGAACCCUUUUACUUCUGCCAUUCCCUUUUGAUUCAGAAGCUAAUCUUCCAUUACUAGCACCAGAACCCCCAAAUGUUCGGUUUGCAGGUUUGAAAUUCUUCUCUUGCUUAUUAUUCUGCAGACUUCUGCCCAGAACCAUUGUCGAGAAGUUCUACAUACAUACCCUCAAAACCCACAAAACCCCAUUAAGAAAUCCUCUCUAGGACACAAUGUUAAGCCGCUACCUUGAAAGCCAACCUAUAUUAAACAAACAAACCAUUAAAUGCGCCAUUGAUGCUGGCACGUGAAUUGUUUGAUGGUUUGUCAGUGAGAGUGUGAAUAAAUAAAGUGCAGGGCAGCGACAAUUAGCAUAAAGGCAGCUUCCUCCAUAGGCACCAUACAAACGUAAUAUACAGGCAGCAGGCAAGCACAGUAUAACAAUGUGAAAAAAGUUACCUGCGAGCAUCUACAGAGUUUCUGGAAGGUUUGUUGAGUGCUUUUUCCGUUUUCAGUUUGCCGCUCUCUCGCGAGUUUGAUUACUCAGCCUUCACUCAUCAGAGUUAAUGAAACCACAAGGUAAGCGACGUCGUUGCUUAAGAUGCGGCCGUUAAGUUAACUCCGAAACCCACUCCGCAAGUUUUAUGUCGUGUCUGGACCCUAACUCGAGUCCAAUCAAGAAGGUGGACCGAAACAGGACGCUUUCAGAAAAAUGCUUAAUAACCCAAGCCAAGCUGAUAAUUAAGCCCUUAUAUUUUGUUCAAGCGAAAUGACGCUCGUGUCCGUAGAUUGGGGUACGAUGAACGAAUGUACUCAAGCCCAACACUCCUUUGUUUAAGGUUAUUUGUUUAUUUAUUUGAGAAUUAUUAAUGAUACUUUCACUAUCAUUUCUAUUAUAUGAUUUUUAUUUAUUAAAUUAUAUAAUAAAAUAAAUGGUAAAAGUGCCGUUAAUAAAAAUUGAAGUGUGAUUAAUAUUUUUAUAUUUUUAAACUUGACUUAUUUAUUUAUUGAGCCGAAUUCACGAGCUUUUAUUGAGUAUAAUUUAAAUCAAGCUCUAUUAGUUCAAAUAUUUAUGACGUAAGUCUCAAAUAUUUUGUUACUAAUUGAGUGAAGCAUAGCCUAAGUUUGAAAUUUUGUCAAACACAAAAUACCAUUCACAUUUAGUUUGUUUAGUGGACGAACAAAACUCAAACAACUUCUAACUAAGUUGAACUCGUUUGAGUAUCGCCUUAUUUAAUUCAUCUUUCAAUCCUAUAUGUGAAUGCAAAAAUGAGAGUAGACAGUGUCAAAAUUGAUAUUCUAUUAAAUUACAUAUAUUUGAGUUUUGUGUUUUGUAGUUACAUGUCCUUAAGUUUUGUAGUUUAUUUGGAAAUGCUUACAUAAUGCCCUCCCUGUGAAGGAUCACAUUCACAAGAAAGCAAGAUAAGGGAACCCAAUCUAGUCAGGCUACGGUGAGAAGUAAAAAACAGUAGAACAUAUGCUACUGCAGUGCAACAAACUUAGGAAAUAUGGAAAACGUCUCCAAUACAAUGGGAUGGCAUAAACAACUUGACAGAAUACUUUUCAUAAAUGGUGGACAGCAGUCAUGGAAGCUCAAGAAUCUAGAGCAGUGGCUGACCAGAUACCAUUGACAAUCAAUGUCCUUCGGCAAAUUUGAAAACCCAGAAAUGACAGGGAGUUCAACCACAAAGAAAAAGAACCUCACAGAGUAAUUGGAAAGGCACGAGUGGGAUGGAUGGAGUUCGACGAAACUAACCGGAAAAUUGAUCAUAGGGGAGCACUCGAGAAACAAGCAUAACAGGACUACCUUAAUGAUGAGGUCGAUGGUGUAACUCUGUAAGUUGAGUGAGUCAAGGUUCCGUUUGAUCCAAUGACAUGUACACGAGCUAAAAAGUUAAAUGAAUCUUUGCAAGCGUUGGUCAAGGUCGUCCAAGAGCGUGUCGGCGUGCCUAAAGCAAUUGAAGGUUUGGACAAUGCAUAGAUCGUUAAUGUGACCCGCCACCCUCAAGGAACAAGCAGGAAUAAGGAAGAUUGUUCAUCAAAAUACAUAUGCAACAGAGCAAGAAGCAACCGGAGGUUGGCAUUGGGAUCUUGGCAAGGAAUCAAUCAGAUCAACUGCAGGCUACUUGGGCAAUUAGAGAAAGGAAAACUGGAGACUCAGUGCAAUACCAAGCAGAAGCAGUCAAGAUGGUCAUAAUCAAAAAGCUGCAGACCAAAGAUGGACAAAUAUCUGAAUAGAGUUGGAAAGCAAGAAGCUGAUAAGUUAUGUUCAAAGUUCAUGUCUGAUCAUCAAGGAAGUCGAGUGGCUACAAUCAUUGAAGACAUGCAAUCCCUUAGUGCAUUGUUUUCACAGUACUCCUCCUUCCCCAUUCACAUAGAUAAGAAUGACAGGAUUGUUCAAAUUAGCAAAUAUACUCUCAACAUUUGUUGGUUAGAUGAAAAAUAGGUUAACCCCAAUCUUUAGUGGUAAAGUAUUGGAACAGAUGGUAGGACCUUUGCCCUUUUUGUUUGGACUAUUGUCCAUAUACUAUCAAUUUUGGCAAUACUAAUACAAGCUAUGGUUUCGGGAAAAAAAAAAAAGUUAAUAAAAUGUAAUGAAAACUUGUGAUAAAUCCAUGAUUAAAGGGUGACAGAAAAUGCAUCGACUCUUAUUACUUGUAAUUAAGACCACCAGGCUAAGGAUUUGGCAAAUCAUACAUGUCUGUGUAUGCAUAGAUUUGGAGAUUACAUUCAAAUUUCUUUUAAUUUUUAGAGGAACAAGCACGAAAUAUUUUCAAGCAUUGUCCAUGAACCAAUUAACUUCUGAAGAGAACAAUUCAACUAUUUACUAUGAUGCCGUGCUCUAAGAAGGUAAAAACUGGAAGUGAACAGUUGCAGGUUAUAUUAGUGUAUUUGGAUUGUAUAUUAUUUGGAAUAAUUUUUUGAAACAAAUAUUACAAUACUUUUUUUUUUUGAUAUAUGUGAGAUAGAAAGGUAACUGAAAAAUAUAUUGAUGAUACGAUGAAAUAAACUACAAUUCAAACAAACCAUUAGCCUCUUAUGAUGAAUUUUAUCGGUAUCAACAAAUGACAUACAAAUAUGAUUGUGUGUGUUUUUGUGUGUGUGUGUGUGUGUGUUUUUUUUUUUGAAAUUUUUUGCUGUUGAGGUGUAAUUGAAUUAGCGUCGUCAAUUAAAAAAACACAUCUUCAUUCAGAGAAUAUAUAUAUAUAUAUACCUAUCAACGUACAACUAAUUGCUCAAAAUUUUGCACCUGAUAAGCAUCGUGAAGUGCCAAUCCUUUUUUCCAGCACACCUCGUAGACCUGAUUGGUUAAUUGUAUGUCACUCGAAGCAAACGGUAAAAGUGAAGUCUCACGUAGAAAGGAUUAAAGAAUGAUAAUUCAUCUUUCUUGGCAAAAAGAGGAGUGGUUAAUUAGUGCUAUACUUAUUUACUAAUCAAAGUGCUCACCACUGCUUAAUUAUUGAGAGACUCGUGAUUGCUUAUUUGACAUCUGUCAGUGCGUUGCGUUUUUUUAAGAUUUGCAUAUUGCAGGACACGCAAUUAUGUAGAGUGUAAAGAUUCCAGUCCUAUUAUGCGCUCAAUAGAUGCCAAGUGAGAACAAAAUGGAAGCUGAUUAUUUAGCUGAUCUGUGAGAUUAUAACAGGUAGGUGUGAAAAUGGAUGUUUCCUGUUUAAUACUUAUUUAAUCGGCAUGCUAAUAUUUAAUUUUUCUUAUUUUUUAAAACAAAACCUUAAACACCUAAGCCAUAUCUCAAGCCUUAAAGUGUGAAUGUCGAUUCUGAAAGUGGGGAAAUACAUUCAAUAUGAAAGUAUUAUGAGGUACUUGUGUUGUGGACAUGAAUGUUUAAUUAAAAUCUAACAAUUAAGGCUCUGUUUAGAUUGCAUUUAUUUGAAUUUUUUUUAUAGAAAAAUUACUAUAACAAUUUGAUACAUGUGAGGUAAAAAGAUGAUUGAAAAAUGUGUUCACGAAAAAAGCAAUAAUUUUUUUUAGAAAAUUGCUUUCCAAAAUAUUUUUGAUACCGUCCUCUACGAAGGUAAAAGUGAGGAUGGGUUUAUUUGGAUAGAGUAUUAUUUAAAAUCUUAUUUGGAAUAAUUAUUGUAAUACUUUUUUGUGAUGUGAUGUAUGUGAGAUAAAAAGAUAACUACUCCUUCCGUCCCGUUUUGUUUGUCUUGAUUUUUUUUUCACACAGAUUAAGAAAGUGUAAUUAAUUUGGUUGGAAACAUAAAUUUAGAUUAAUAAUUUCCUAAAAUACCCUUACGCUAAUCACGAAGAGUGCCAAUUAAUAUCAGUUACAGCUAAUAGGUUAGUAUUGGAAAAGCUCAAUGUAUUCAAUGUAGUGGGUUAGUAUUUAAUAACAAUGUAUUAAUAACAAGAUAUUUAAUAAGGGUAUUUUAGAUAAUUUGAAAGAUUACUACAUUUCUUAAUGGGAAAGUGGACUACAAUUUGGGACAGACGAAAAAGGAAAAUAAGACUAUCAAAGUGGGACGGAGGGAGUAUAAAUAUAAAAAGGCGAAUUGGAAAAUGUGUUGAUGAUGUAGCGAAAUAUUUAAUUAUUUGAGAUAUUUGUGCCAUCCAAUGUUUCAAUUGGAGUUGAACUCUAUGAAUAAUAAUAAAAAAAAAAAAGUCGUCUAAAAGUGACAAACUGGAUCGCUUGCCAUGAAAUUUCCCCGACGUCACAUCAAGAAGAAGCCAGCAGAAUAGUGGACGACAUAGAUCAAUCAAAGGCAUAAGUGUCGACAUGGAUUAAAGGCACCCAGCGAUCGUUGUAUCUGCCUCUGGCAGCUUCCUUGCUGGGGCGGAUUCAGCGGACUUCCAUUCAUUCAACCAGCAGGGCCUGUACGUAAAGGGCCUAAACAGCGACAGAUGAGCAAAUUAGGUGCCAAAAUUCAACUAAUAGCAUUGAUUACAAUAGCAAAACAGUUGAACAAGCAUUUGCCUCAAAUCAGCUUAGAAAACUUGAAACCCACUCUUGGAAAAACUUAUUAAAAAGGUUCACUUCCGCUAACACAAAAUUGACCCGUCAAAGCAAGCAGACUAAUGAAAGCACGCUUGCAAAAACACAACAGUUAAUGUGUUUGCCAAAACAGCGACGGGAGUUAAUAUAUUAGCCAAAAUGAUUCAGUCGACUUUUAUUGAGAUGAUAGUAUGUACAGUGAGAAUCAAAUCGGACUUGGCAGUUGGCACAGCAUACAUUUGCCAGCUGCUUAAUAAUGGUGUAUACACUUUUGACAGAAUAAUACAGCACCAUAACUGGACGCUAAUCCAUUUCAUGCUUUAACGAGUCAUUUUUCUUCCCCAUGUAAGAGGCUCGACUCAAUAAAAUAAAUAAAUUAAUUUAAAAAAAAAACUAGUAGUAAAAAAUGGUUUAAAUCCUGCCUAGGUAAUUAUCGAUAAACCCAGACAAGAAUUACCUUCUUCCUCUUGUUUACAAUCAUGUACAGACAAACACGGACUCUAUAAUUAUGAUCAGCAAGAAGUAAAAUUUGUGUAAUGAUUAUGAAUCAUCAUUUGGGUUCACCCAAUUUGAAUACUCUUUUUCGCCAUUGGGUGCAAAGAAUCGUCGCUAGCAGCAACUAGAGCCAGAGGUUGAAGCUGCAACUCCAAUCCUGCUGGUGUUGCCCAGAAUUGCCGCUUAAUUCUCUUUUCCCAUAAUUCAUGAAAGAAUCCCGCAUCUCCGGCUCUUUUCUUGGCGUUCACGACUACCAUACUAUCAGUCAGCCGGAAAAACCUCCAAUCCAAUUACGAAUUUACCGCUAUCCCGGUGACCCUGUAACUCCACGCCCCAUUCCUUCUUUCUCUUCAACCUCGCGUUUUCCACCCCUUUUGCCACCUCCGACACCUCUCGAUGAUCUUCUCCGGAGAAUCUCUCCACGGCCAACCGGGCCGAGCUAUACGAUUCGUCGAACAGCCCGGAAAGGUCCAACCCGGAAGAUAACGAGAUUAGGUCAAAGGCGUUGAAACUCGUGGAACCUUGAAUCACCUGAUCAUCCUUAAUAACCUUGUCAUCAUUAAAUUCAACAAAAUCUUCCUCGUAAAACUUCCUCUCCUUGUACCCUUUCUUGAACCAAGGGUCUCGCUUGAUCUCCUCAAUAGUUAUCCUAGUCGCGGGAUUGGUGUCCAAAAGACGAGACAAAAACCGUUUGAGCUCGGAUGACAUCCAUUUAGGACAUCUAUACUCGCCUUGGUAGAUUUUCCUGUACAUGGCCAUCAGAUUUGGAUCGUUAAACGGCAAAUAACCCACCGUCAAAACGUACAAAAUCACCCCACAGGACCAAACGUCCACCUUAGCUCCGUCGUAUCCUUUCUUGCUCAAUAUUUCGGGUGCUACAUAAGCCGGGGUCCCGCAAAGCGUGUGCAGGAACCCAUCUUCUCUUACCUGGUCCGUCACGGCACUAAGCCCAAAAUCGGAAACCUUGAGAUCGCCGUUCUCGUCGAGUAAUAGAUUCUCAGGCUUUAAAUCCCGGUGGAAAACCCCGUAGAGAUGGCAGUAACCGACGGCGGAGAUCAGCUGCUGGAAAUAUUUACGGCCGAGAUUUUCCGAGAAGCGGCCCUUGGAAAUCUUCCCGAAUAAUUCGCCGCCUUUGACAAACUCCAUGACAAAAUAAAUCUUGGUUUUGGUGGCGAGUACUUCAUGGAGUCUAACGAUGUUGGGGUGGCGCAGCCGGCGCAUGAUGGAGAUUUCGCGCGUGAUAUUGGACAUCAAGGUGGUGCUGGAUACUUUCUUCUUGUUGAUGACUUUGAUGGCCACGCUUUGGCCAUUUCUGACGUCCCUAGCGUGGUACACCUUUGCAAAUGCGCCACAGCCCAGAAGUCGUCCGAUUUCGUAUUUGCCGAAUAACGGAGGUUCCGAUACGGCCGAAGCCGGAGGGACUUCCUCGAUCUCCGGCAUAGGGAUGCCUGGGUGAGCCAGAGACCGGCUGGGAAAGAUGUGUGAUUUGGGAGGAGGUUAUUAAGAAACGGAAGGAAUCGCCAAAAAUAGAAAUAGAAGGAAGUAAAAAUGGUGGAGAUUUAUAUUGGGCAGCUGGCAGGGCUGCAGCUUCGGCUGGCUUUCUAGUUUGCUUUGUUGUCGUAGUUGGUUGUGGACCUUGCGCUUGCGGCUGGCGCGUUUAAGAUCGUCCAAGUUUGAGAGAACAACCUCCGGAGAGUUUGAGUGGUCUCUAUAUAUACGUCAAUUUAUUUUUCCUUUAUUAGCUCGUAGUCGUAUAUAUGGAAAAUUGUUACUGCAUGAUUUGAUUUUCCUUUCUAUAAAUGAAAGUCUUGUGCUGGAAAGUGGGAGCGGUAUACAUAAGAAUACAAGUUGUCAAUAUCCUCCUUCUAUCUUUAUCUGAUUGCGUGGAAUAUUAAUUAGUUUUCCUUUGCUCGAGUCUGAUGAUUAAAGCACAUUUGACCGAAAAUGGUAAAUGAGUUCUGUUGUUGUUUCCCUUUGUUUGAAAAAUUGCUUUUACUUCUUUACCCAAAUUACAUAAUAUUAUUGUGUAGAUGCAUUUUUGUUUUUAAUAAUUAUAUAUUAAAAUAAAAACAUAAGUUGAAGCCACACCUUAGUAAUAAUCCUAUUACGUAUAACUCUAAAAAAAAAAAAAAUCACUUCAAAACUCUUGCCAUAAUAGUCAAAAAUGAAUCAAGAACAAAAUGGUACAAGAAUCCCUUAAAAAUAAAAUGAUAGAUAUAUUCUUUCUUCUAACACCCUAUCGAGCUUCCAGGAUAGAAAUCCUGUCGAAUUAUCAUACUAAGUAGGAGAUUAUUUGAGAUAAACUUUUUAAAUAUAUAUAUAUAUAUUGAAACACUUUUUUUAUGUGGUGUAUGUGAGAUAAAAGACAGUUAAAAAUAUGUUUAUAAUAAAAGUAAAUAAUUUUGUACAAAUAAUUUGCUAACCAAACACACGCAUUUUUAACUUGGGAUAUAAUUUUGCUUCAACUAAAUUCGUGUCGUGUGCAUGUAUGUGCGAAUGUAUAUACACGCACGCGUACACACAGACAUAUAUAUAUUAAAUCUUUUGAUCUAUCAAAAAAUCCUCUAAAUUUAACCUGUAAGCUUUAUAGAUAUUAAAAUGCCAAAUAAAUGAAUAUAUAAAAUUAGUAAUUGUACACUAACAUAGAAAAAGAAUGAAAUCUAAUAUAUAUAGUUUUUUUUUUCUUGGGGAAAAUAAAAUAGCUCUUGAUUUCAAUCAGAAGUGGAAAAUUGCGUAGUAUAUCACAAAGGAAUGUCAACUCAUCCGCUAGUAGCUAGUACCACCUCACUUUUUUUAUAACUGACAUUUAAGGUUUUACACAUCAAUUAAGAAAAGUUUUUUAUUACUUAAAUCUGUACACUACUUUCCUUUUGCACCCUCAUUAAUUGUCCAAUUCACCCACAUUUUCUCUCAUUAGAGUACUAAAUGGUGCUAUUUUAUUAGGUCAAAAGUAAUGCAAACUAACUCCCACCAAACUAGAGUAGUAAUUAAGAACCCUGUAUUGGAAAAGAGAGAUAAAAGGGUAAAAUUGUGAAAAAAUAAUUAAUACUGUAUAGAAAUAAUAAAAUGACAGAUAAAAAUAUACUAGAGCAAAUUUUUUAAACGUCAGUUAUAAAAAAAAAGGGAGGGAGUACCUUUUUUCUUUUUUUGCAUCAAAAUGUUGAACAUCAGACAAAACCUGAAGCUUCCGAGUAAGGAUUGAGGGUACAUAAUUAUUUUUUGCUUGACGUCAUGGACCUUUUAUCAUUAUUUUGUCAUUUCGACUUUCAAAAGAGUUGAACUUCCUCUGCCGCUGCGGCAGGGAAAGUGGUGGCUGCUCGGAGUGCGAUCUGAAUUCUGAAGUCAAAAACUCGAAAAUGGCCAUUGGGAUCGGUUACGGGCAGCAACACACGGUUGCCGCCAAAACCACACGCUGCUGAUUGCGUCGGCAAGAAACAAUAAUAGAAGCUAAAUUAUGAAUAUGAAGCGUGAUUGAUUCAUUCUACUUUUUAAUCAACCACAAACAGCUUUCUAAAAUGAUUAAAUUUUUUUUAAUUACUAUUAUAUGUCGCUAUCCAAACCAAACUUCCAACCAAUAAUUGAUUAAUACAGCAACACACACGGCCAGUCCAUCCCCUUUUUUUUCGGUGCUUGCGGUUCUUGCACGGCAGUACCGUACCAGCAUAAAGUAAGUAAAAGCAUUUGUGUGUAUUGAAUAUUAACGUAGAUUUUCUUUUUUCUUAAGCGGCGUGAACUGUGAAACGUGAAAUUCGUGUUACGCGGUACUAUUCCGUUCACGCGCAAGGAGACGUAUAGAAAUCAGAAACUUUUUGAGGGAAGAGCCAGAUGAUGGAGACCAAGUGAGGGGCUUACGCAAAUUGCAAAGGAGUUUUCACAUGAAUUUCGAACGUGACAGAAUGCUCGAGAGACCAGUGGACCAUUUCCCUCCUCAUCUUCAUCUGUUAAAAUCGAAGCAGCCCCCACCAUCACUCGAUCUCCAUUUAAGGGCUUCACUAUUAUUGUCUUCUACGACUGCGAUGGUAACUCAAAUACUUGAGGUUUCUCAAGUUGUUGAAAGAACGACUGCGAUGGUAACCGGAAAGCCCCGCCAUUUUUCUGCGUGAGCGAUCUUAGAUUAUGUUUUCAGAAGCCGAUCGAAUAUCGAUUCGAUCGAAUUCAGGGUCAGGGAUUAAUAAGUUUUGAUCGGAGUUGAAUCGGAUGACGUCAUGAAUAAAAAUUAUUUAAAAAUUAAAAUAUUAUAUAUACAAUAUAUAAUAACAUGUUAAUAUUAAUAAAGAUAUAUUCAUAUAUAUUUGAUGUUUUAAAUAUAUUUAACAAGAAAAUAUAAAUAAAUUAGAACAAUCAAGUAGUAAUUAUAUUAUUUAAUGAGCAUUAACAAGUUUAAAAUUAAAAUUAUGGAUUUAAUUGAAAAAUAACACCAAACUUUAAGAUAACAUUUACAAAGUAUGAAAUAUUUGAAGUAUAUUAGUAAUUUUUAGCAACCUAGGGGUCAAAACAUACUACUAAAAAUAUUUUGAUCUUUCCCAAAAAAAAAAAUAAUUUUUGACCGGUUCAUAUUUUUCCAGUCAAAUCGGGUCAACCCCACUUUUUGAUCUAGUUUGACUGAGUUUUUGAUUUUUCGAUUUUUAGGAUUAACUCGGACCAGAUAAUUGGCCGGCUCCCGAUUCGAGCGGUCCAGUCUGAUUUAAAAACACCCAUACGAGAGAGAACCUGAAAAUGAUAUGUUACACUUAUUUCUGGCUAUUUUUUUUCAAUAAACAAAAUAAUAUUCAGUAACUUGAAAAUAAAAAAAAUGUGGUAGUUAUUCGUAUGGAUACUUUAGAGGCGACGAAGCUAUUUGGUUUUCUGUGGUUUAGAUUUUUUCAACAAACUUCAAAAUUCAAAUUUAUUUUUUAAAAUUUUGAAUAAGCACAAACCCUAAAACUCUUCUUUUACAGUACUGUGUCAUCAUGUAUUUAAUCCAAGCGAAAGCAUCCUCCGAGUCUGAGUUCCCGUAAAUAUAAAAGUUUCAAGACUUCUUUAGACAUCGCCUUACCUUAAAAUUCCAAAUUUCUCCAAUAGACAAACUCAAAAAAUUCAAUUAUUAACAUUAGGACACUGUUUUAUACUCAAAAAAAAAAAAAAAAUUUCAAUUUUAACAUUAGGACACUAUUUUAUAAUCAAAGAGUGGUGGAGUUCCUACCUUAGAGCUCGACUGAGGGUGCGAUACUUCUAAUAAUACUAGUAGAGUUGGAAUGGUGCUAUCCUAUAAUGAGGACGUCGUGUAGCGUCAUCCUCCUCCGAAUAAGCUAAAUCUGCAAGUAGAUAUGUGAUCGUUGGUUGUACUUGGAUGAUGCUACUCCAGUUGGAAGACACAUGACAUGAUGCUCUAGCCGAUGUCCUAAAUGAAGCACCAGCAGGUUCAGGGCAUGUACAACUUAUUGCCGCAUUUGCACCUCCAGGCUUCAGGGUAGUACUCGGUCGUCACCGGCGUUCCAGGGGGCACCGGGACAUGGACCGGCCGACAUGGUGUGCAUCUACCGCACUUUGAUAUGCAUCGAGGAGGUGAUGAACCGGGACCGCCUAAAAGCUUCCUUCCCCCUGCAUCCAGGGAAUGCUUAAUCUCCACUGCUCCAUUCCUCUGCCCCAGCGUCUGCGCCUCCUGGAUCUGAGUUCCGAAACUUUGUCAAAAUCAGUAUUAAUACUCCACUUGUUAUUCGUGCUAGUGGGAUUUGUUAUGCUACUACUAUAUUAUGCGAUUUCUGUUGGGUUGUUUGAAAAAAAAAAAAAGAGGCUGGUCGGACCAUUCAGCGACGGAACCAGAAAUAAUUUGAGGGAGUGAAAUACAUACAUACCUACAUCAUGAAUAAUUUUUUUUUUAUAUACUGCCAGUGUAUGAUUUUUUUUUUUUAUACCAAUAGUUUUAAAUUAUGUCACGUAAUAUGUAUUAAAAUUUAAAAUUUAAAUCAUGUAUAUAUGAUAUAUUUCAAAGUUGUUAAGUGUAAAAAAAUCACUACACUAUCAACAUAUAAAAAAUUAAUCAUACACGCACACACAUAUACAUACAUGCAUAUAUAUAAACUUUGGAGUUUUUCUAAAAAUUGUUGGAGUGGGCAAAUAGCUUAAAAGUUAAAUGUACAUGGGAGUUUUUGGGCUGAAAACAAGCGGAUUUUGCAAACAACAUUGAUUCGACCUCUGUGGGUUUAAAAGUUGAGGCCUGCUAUUGGAAUCAUGGGCUCAACGGUGACUCGCACAAGUACCACAAGCUUUUAGUUCCCACUUGGGAGAACAAAGAAACAGUUCAAGUGCAUGAGCAAUCGCACAACUACAAAUGGCAAAUGGCAACCGCGUAGGAUAUGUAUAUCCCAUUGCCAUGUCUUUGAAUUUGCAUAGGCUAACUAUUAUCUCUUUCAAUUUUUUUUUUCUCUACUCUUUCGAUUUCAUCAGCUAUGUACAGGCUACAGCAGCGUUUUAUGAACACCUUCUUUCUCAGAUUUCGAGUCUUCCAAAACACAAUUGAGCAAUAAAAUUUCAUCGCAAUGGGUCGUAAAAGGCUAAAUAGCAGGCUAAACAACCAAGUGGCUCAGCGCACCAUAGGCCCAACCUACAUACAUCUAAUAUCGAUGGUUUCCCACAAGUCACACCAGCCUAGAAUUCAGAAAUGCUAUUUGGACCGAUUCAAGGUUACUGUGCUGCUGCUGCUGUACCCCACGUCCACAAUGAGAUUUUUUUUUCACCUGGGGGUGUCCGGGCCUUACGACCCAACUAAUUCCCUAAGGUCCGGGGAGAAGGCACCCAAUCUGAAUUCCGAGCGAGAUACUCCUGAGACUCGAACCAUGGUCGACAUACCUUAAAGAGGGACAUCAAAUCACUCGAGUUACCCCCAGGAGGGGUCGACAAUGGGAUUCACUGCUGCCAUUUAUAACGCCUUUUUAUUAUUCAUCUUAAAAAAGAAAACGUUUUACUAUUAUUGAGUCAAUAAAAUUCGUCAGUCAGUUAGGCCUAGAGACCACACAAAAUAUUACUCCUACUAUUAUUGUUCCGUCGGAUUGGAAGAUGAACUCAACGCAGAUUGCACAGUUCUGAAGGCCAAAUGAGAAUUUUCAUUUUCUGUAAGGAUGGUAAUUGAGACAGGGCCUCUUGCAGAACGAAACGAUGAAAGGAGGAGGAGGAGGGCAGCGGCUACACUGAAAUUCAGGCCGCUGUCAACCUCAAAAUCAGUCAGCUGGCGGGCCAGGGAUCACGAGGCGGAAGCAGAGAACAUGGCUCCGUUGAAUCCGCUGGUCAAGUUUCAACACAGAAGACCCUAGCUCCAGCCCACCGCCCCACAUGCAUUCCAAACACGACAAACGCCUAAAAAAAACACUCGGUACUACCUCAUCAUCCCUACAUAUCUUUUUCAUUUUUACUACUAUUAUUGUUUUUUUUUUUUGUUAUUAACGACACAGAGAGGAGGAAUAGGAUCUAAGAAACGGUGGUGAGAGAGGAGGGAGCAAAGAAUUUUGAACCCCCUCUACUUUUUUAAACUUAUAAUUUUAGCUACUAUAAAUUAACCUAUCUUCAACACAAAUUGUUUCUCUUCCAUAAACUAAGAAUGUUUUUUGUAAUGUGAACGUGCGUGUGAGAUAGAAAGAUAAUUGAAAAGUUAAAAAUAAAAAUUGAUUGAAAAGCAUGCUUGUGAUUAUAAGAAAAAUGAUGUUAAAAAAAAUAUUGAUAUCCACUAAUACCAGUUCUUAGAAUUCGAGCCAAAAAAAAAUAUGCAGAAAAAUUUUGGCAUCCAAAUCCAAUAGUACUGGUACUUUAAUUCUUUCAACAGUGAUCAAUGUGAAGGUACGUGGUGGAUGGCCAUAAAGGGCAAAAAGGGUGGCACUCCAACUUUAUAUGGUCAAGUCAAGCUGCACGAAGCGGAGCAUAGACCAAGCAAGCUAGCACACUUUGAGUGAACGGGGAUUUCCAGGAACAAUUUAUUGUUUGGCGAUCCGAAGGGUCAGCCAUUUAGCAUCAAGGAAAACCUGGCUACAUCCUAGACUCCAUUUAUACAUUCGCUUCACAUAGCUAGGUGUAAUUCAGCUAUCUAAAUUAUGGAGUCCUAAUCCCCUGCAAGCUUCAACUUUCAGUUUCAGACGAUGAGAAUUCUUCUUCAGGUGAACCAUUGUGCUCGGAGGAAUUCAUUUGAUUCACAAGAUUAACGACCCUCUUGCCCUGGCCCAAGAAUUUGCAAUUUACUUCCUUGAUUUACUACUCCGGUGCAGUAAAUCCAUAUUCAAUUCUGAUUCUGUAAAAAUUUGUUAUACCAAUUGGGGACUGCCUGCCUACAAUUCUCCGUUUGUUCAUUGUCUAGACUCUAGUGCAAAGUAAAUAUUAGAGAGACAGUUAGCGCCACCCACCUGGAGCUGAAGUGAAAAUCAGCUUUACUAGUCAGCAGGGACCUGGAACCUGGAGAGGAAGACAAAAGAACCAGCCAAGCCCAUGAAUUACAUAGUUGCAGAGACUAAAGAAACCAAUAUCUCCCAAAAAAAAAAAAAAAAAAUAAAAUGGGAACACAGAAAGAAUUCAGUUGUCAGUUACGGCAGGCACAAUCAUCAUCCAAACCAUCAUCACAUAAAUUUUACAACAAAAAUUCAUGCAAAUAAUUGCAUCGUUUGUAGGAUUACUAAUAAGGCUGAUCCCUUACCUGGAGGAACAUUCGGUGAUGCUGGCAAGCAUUGCAAGGAGUGAUAUAAGGGCGAUGGAAACGAGGUACAUAAGAAGCCUUGUGUUCGUCAACUUGAGACUAUUCAGCUUCCAAUACUCCAUCUCUUUCAUUUGAAGCAAGCCCAGAACGAAAAAUCAAACUCGGAUGGAGGUGAAGCAAGCAACAAGUGGAAGGAACUGAAUCAAGAUUAAUUAAUAUCUUCCGAAGGCUAACCCUGUGCUGCCAAUUGAUCAGGCUCCGAUUAAUUUCUCCAGUCCCACCCCAUGCAACAACUCUUACGCAGCAGAAUCAUUCCUAUACAGCACAAUUCAACUCUUCUGGUCACGUCAAGUCCCUUUCCUCCUGCAGACAAACUACUCUUCCCUUUGGGCCCUCUUCUUCUUAGUUUGCAAAGGUUUCAGGUCUUCUUCUUGGAUCCAACCGGGAAUCCUAGAUAGCUUAAUAGUGGGAGUAGUUGACAAGUGUAGGUACAAGAUAAUGCUGAAAGAAGGGCUCGCCUUGGUUUGGGGUGGGCCUGGAGGACUGAGGAGGUUUCCGAGGAACUAAACAGACGGUGUUUUCCUCUGCUUUGCCAUAUUUAGGCCACAGAUUCUUUUGCCAGUCUUUUCUUCACUGUACUUCACCGAUUCCUAUUCCCAGUAAAAGUCUAACUAAAAACCCCCAAAAAAUACUCUCUAUUAUCUCUCAAACCUCUGCUAGCUCUCUGCUGCAACAGCUCUCAUCACCCUCUCUCUCUCUCUCUCUCUCUCUCUCUCCCUUUUUCCUAAGAUCUGAAUAUAUCCAUGCGUGUACGAUGUUAAUACUUGUGUUUGUUGCUAGGCGAACAUUUAGCACCAGUGUUAUAGAACCAUGCAGAGUAUGCUACACAGGAUUGGCGUAAUGCCUCAAUGAUUCUCUGCUAUAGGACCAUUUAUAUCCUGCAAUGGAGUUGCAGUGGUUUGGUGCAACUUGUUAGUCAGUGUUGGGCAUGUCAAUUGGUGGGUUUGGACUAGAUCUACUUGAUUAAGACUCAGAAUCACCAAAUUUAUCAACACCCGGACCCGGAUCUAGACCUUCAUGGGGUCUCGAAAACAAAAUCUAGAUCUACAUCCUUGUGGAUUUUGGUACGUAAUGAGUAUCUAUAGGUAUCUCUAAUUGUGUAAUUAAGAGGUUUAAUUCAAAAACAGCAAAAAAAAAAUAUGAAUUCAAAGAUAACUAAAAAUGCAGUCCAAUUAUAUUUUCAAAUUACGGAAUCAAUUCAAGAGUGUUGCGUGCAAAAAAUAUGAACUGAAAGAAUGAAUUGUGAUCAAUUUUCAUAGAGUAUGGAUCAGAAUAGUAUUUGAUUUGAAAAAUCAAAUCCAAACAAGAAGUGCUCCGUUGCAGGAUGAUAAGUUUGAUUAAUAUCCGACUCGUUAACAUGCCUAAUCAUUAGUUUUUUAUUUCGACAAUUCUUUUUUUGUUUCUUUUCCUUCCGAUUGGAAGACACAGAAAUUUUUGAAGAGAUGCGCCAACGUGCAUUUCUUGACCCAAGGUAACACUCCCUGCACUGGCUCCAAACCGAUGCCAUCCUCCCUAAUCCAAUCUUCUCACCUCUCAGCGUUCGAUUAGCCAUCUGUCAAUUUGUUGCGUAUUAUCUUUUUUUGCACAUUUUAUUUCACGUGGUUUUUUUUUCAUAAGAUUACUUAAUUCAGCCACUUUAUGAAAAUUUCCGAUUGUUUUAAUUUGAUAGUGCUGUUUCCAAAAGUACCUGCCAGUUGAAAAAGCGUAGAAGAGUUUUAAGGAGUAGAAGAAUAGAUGUGCAAAUAAAACGAGUCGAUCUUGAGCAGUGCAUACUUGAACUCGAUUUUGACUUAAUAUAGCACUACUCAAGAUUGAACUCGACUGAUCGAACUUGAAAUUCUACAAAUCGAGAACGAUUUGUUGAUGUUUAAAGAUGUUGGAGUUCGACUCAUUGGUUCGAACAAACUGAAGCCCAAUCGAGCUAGAUAUAUUGAAUUCAAUUAGAAAAGGAGAUAUUUUGAAAAUUUAUAAGAAUUUAAUGCCUAUAUAUGUAAUUUACUAUACACAAAUAUAAUAUUGUAUGUAUUAUAAAUAUAUUUUUUAUAUAUUGUAUGUAUUGCUUGAUAAGACUCAACAAGCUAUCGACCUUAACUAAAAAUAAUCGAUGCUCAUUCGUUUGGUUAAACGAGCCAUUUGAGAUCGACUCAAACUCAGUCAAUGCAAUGAAACGAGCCGCUUGAGGUCGAAUUGAAUUCGGUUAAUUCUAAGUUAAGUAGAUUGUUUAAUCGAUCAGUUUGUGAGCAGUUCACGAGCCGCUCAAUUCAUUUACACCUAUAAAAAAAGCAAUGUGUAAAGAGCUCGAACCAAAAGAACAUGUUUGAUCUCACAAGCCACUCGAUUCGUUUGCACACCAUAGAAGAAGCAAUGUGUAAAGAGCUCGAACCAAAAGGAUACGUUUGGUUUGGAACAUAAAUCCAGCAAUCGACCCUGCUAAUAAGCAGAAGCCACGAAUUCAUGAGUUGUUAAAAUUAUGUCUACCAACGGAUUUGAUGGCAUCCUAGCUGACAGCCGGACCCUUUUCGGCCCCUUUCUUAUUCCCAUCAAUGUUGAGGUUUGACUAGUAUUAAAGACAAAUGACUAUAUGUGCACGAGAUAAUUCGGUAAGCAACGCAAGAAUGUGAGACAUCAAAAUUCCCUGGAAGAAUACUUUUUACUCUUAAGAGUACGCUGAAAAUAUUCCUGUUAAAUCAGAAAUAUGAUGAUAUCCCACCACGUAUGAUUAGUUUACUGGCCUUAAUUAGGCUUGUGUACAAUACAAUGUCAAUCAAUCGCUUGCCUAUAUUUCAUGUUCAUCCAAAAAGAACCAGGUGACAAAAUAUCUGUCCACUAAUAAUUAACUGAUUUGCUGCAGGCAGGUUCUGUCUCACAUUAGACUGUGAAAAGUACUAGUAUUACGAAUGAUCAUGGAAAUUCAAGGGAAUAAUAUCAAGAUAAUUAGAAUUAGAGAUGCAUGCAAAGGGUUUGACAGCGGAAUUAAUUGAAUGAUUAGGCUAACAGGACAAUCGGUCGUCCGGUAAUACACUAAUUACGUAACUUUUCAUGCCUGUACACUCGUUAAAUGCUUAGUUUAAAUUAGUUGCAGGUUUAGCAACUAAUAAUACUGUAAGACAGUAGUAGUACACAAUAAUAUCCACUGAUGGAGGUGUCGCAACUUGCAACAUUCUGAAACCCUAGAGGGAGGGAGGGGUGGUUUCUCUGAUCAAAAAGCAGAGCAGAUGGCAGAAAACACCCAUCACUCUCUAAUCUCUGUCCUCCGUCACUUCCCGUAGAUUCCAGAAUGCAAGGGGGCUGGGGGCAAAGGCUUUUACUACAACUUAAAAUUAGAACACAUGUAGUUCUUGGAAUUGAUUGGGGUCCCAAAGUUACCACAAAAAAAAAGGCAUUAUGGCAUGAUUUCGCACCCGCUUGUUGAGUCCAACUCGAACGUACCUUAACUGGCACAUAUCAUGUCCAAAUCAUUAACACCAUUUCCUUGUUCUCUGGCUUUAAAGGUGGUAGAAGUUUGUACCAUAUUGGUUAUUACAUCACUGUACUUUCACUUGAGUUCCUGAUAAAUCAAGUGCAGGGGCAUUCCUUUUUUCGUUUUAGUUUCGUUAAUAAAAUCAAGCAACUAGUGAAAUGAAUUGGUGACUCUCACAGCUUGAUUGAGUUUGUAUAAAGCUGCAGUUCCAUGUAGCUGCUUGAAGCAGCUCAAGUUGAUUUACUGGAACGGCUGCUCUCUUGUCAUAAAUGGAAUCCUUCCAUUUUUUUUGGGGGGGGGGGGGGGGGGGAAGGGGAGGAACCAAAAGCUAGAGCUCAACAUUCAAAUAGAACCCUUACUAUGAUUGUUAAUGGCUACUCGAAAUGCAGUUUCAAUACUGACUACACCAUUAGAUGUACCAAACUUUUGAAGAAAAGUGGGCGUAUCAAACUUUUACAGUGACUAAAAGUCGUCCUGUAAAAAUUUGAAGUUACACCAGCAUCUUCUUCACAUCACCAAUUUCCGUUUGUGAUUGAAGAUGGAAGGAGAGUGGGCAGAGAUUGUUGAAGCUUCGCAGUGAGGGGGAGUUAUUCGGCCCAUGGUGACAAAUCUCGCGACAACGAAAGCACCUCAAGCAUCGCCAUCGUCAGAGAAAAGAUGUCGCAUAUUAGUGAGAAAGGCUUCGGUGAGUUGUCGGAAUUGCUGAGCCAUUCGUGCAUGUGUCAACUGUCAAGUGCCUUUGUUUUGUCUCCACCAAUGUGAAGACCCGUAUUCACUUGCUCAUUACCAAUUUAAUUUAUGAAAAAUAUUUUAAUAGCAUCACAUUCAUUGUAAAUUGGCACACAUUGAACAUCAAAAGUUAUAAGCAUAUAAUUUUAAAAUUUUGUUAAUCAUUAUGUUUUAUAGUUUAGGAUUUUAAGAAUUGGCGAAAAACGUGUAAAAAUCAAGAGUAAAAAUACUUAAAAUACAAAGAUAAAAAAUAUUUAAAAAAAUAGUUGCUUAGAGUAAUUUGUACUUCUAGCAACUAUAAUAUUAUUAUGUGUCAGUUUAUCAAGUGCCCAUCCGCCACUCGUUAAAGUAUAUUUUAAAAAUGUAAGAUUAAUUAGAGAAAGUAAAUAAAUACAAAAGAGUAGUGAAGAUUAAAGGGAAAAUGAUCGUUUCAUCCUUCACAUUUCACAAAAAUAUUCUUUUCGUCCCUCAUUUUUUAAAACGAAGCAAUUUCGUCAUUGACAUUUAAAAAUUGAAGUUAUUACAUCUUUGAAUCCAAAUUUCAAUCUGAAUUGAACCACCAAUCAACAUGAUUACAAAUUUUGGGAGUGUAAUUGGUAGAUCACUUGGUUAACUCAACUUGAUAUUCAUAUGAAAUUUAAUAAACCUAAAAAUAAAAAUAAAAAAUUAUAACCAUAAAAAGAAUAAUUAAUCUUUCCUACAUUAUAAUUGUAUACACUGACGGUUUUGUACCGUCAUAUCAUUUUAAUUUAAAUUAAAUAUUAAAUUAUAUUUAUACAUAUCUAGAUUCGCAAUCGGACAUACUAAUAGUGCAUGAAAAGAUUUACCAAAAAAAAAUCUACUAUUCCAAGACAAAGAAUGGCCUUUUAUGUUAUAAUUUUUAUUUUUUUGGUUUAAUAAAUGUCAUGUAAAUAUGAUGAAGUUGACCGAGUGAUCUGUCAAUUCUAUUUUCGAAAUUUAUUACUGGAUUAUUGGAUGGUUUGAUUCAGAAUGAAAAUUAGGUUCAGGGAUGUAAUAGCUUUAAUAUUUAAAUGUCAGGGAUAAAUUUGUUUCAUUUUAAAAGUGAGGGACGAAAAGAAUAUUUUUUCGAAAUAUGAGGGAUGAAACAUGUCAUUUUCCCAAGAUUAAAUAAAAAAGUAUAUAAAUGUAACGAAAUGUAACAAUUAUUAGAAUAUGUAUAUACAUAUGAUAAAUUAAGUGAAUUAUAGGUGUUUAUAAGUAGGGAUGUACUCGAGCCAAAUUGAGCUCGAGUAUUGCUAUACUCGCUCGACUCGACCCAUAUGUAACUAGGCUCGAGCUCGGUUCGAACUCGACCAAGCCUAAAAAAUUGUAACUUGAGGGUUGACUCGAGAAAAUCCCUUUAAACUCGAGACUCGACUCAAAAGGUUCGACCUUUAGUCAAGCUUUACAAACCGAGUCUAAUCAAGCUUUUUGACUCAACUCGAAAAAUUUACACUUCUGCCAUUAUAGAAUUUUAUUAUAAAAAAGUAUAUUAUAAAUUCAGUAUAAAUUAUAUUCAUAACGGUCCAUUUUAUAAUUAUAAUACAUAUAUAUUAUUUAAAUUAUAUAUAUAUAUUUAAAUAUAUCCUGACUCGACGAGUAGCUCGGUGAGUUACAAGCCCCAAAAUACUGACCCGAAACUCGACUCGAAAGUACAUUCGAGUAGUUUGAGACUCGGCUCAAACUCGGUCAAAUCGAGUUCAAGCCAAGCCAUUGACCAAGCUACUCGCAAGUAGCUCGACUCGCGUACAUCCCUAGUUAUAAGUGUCUAUUGGGCACCAGUUAGAAAACCCUUAUUAUUAUUUACUUUCCAAAAACAUGCCAGCUUCUAAUUUCACAACUUGUGCACGAAGGGAGUGCAUAAACUACCUUUCCAUAUAUACCAUUUUUUACAUGUAUCGUAUAAAAACCAAUGCAGUGGUGAAUAACAAAAUUUAAGACCCAAGAUAGCAAUUUUCUGUUCUUGGGGUAAUGAUGAGCAGUUUAAAAUGUAAAUAUACACAAUAAUUAUGGUACAAUCACUCCCCCCCCAACCCCCAAUUACUCCUUCUAUGCAUCCAUGAUUGAGCAAACAACAGAUGAAGGACAGCGACUCCUUCGGAAAGACAAACUUAUGAAGAGGAAAGGAGGGGCCCAAAUUUGGAGAUAAGAAGCAUUUGCCAGGAACUAUCGGGGCUCGAUCAUAUGGGCCCUUCCUGUUGUCGUUCAAACUUCAAUAGGAAGUCCAAUCAGUGCUCUUCACCCCUGGAAAAAAAAAAAAAAAGAAAAGAAAAAUGCAAAUCACGUUGUACAUCAAUUAUUAGGCAUUUAAUGCUAGGCAAACAUGACAAAAUCAAUUACCAAAAAUGAAUUGCUAGGCACAUACAUAAAAACAGCUUCCUUGGUCUUUGAGAUAUUAUUUUAACUUUUAAUUUUUUUAUACGAUUUUAAUUUUCAACUACAAAGUUAAUUUCCUUGCUGAGAUUCAUAGUUCCGAGCUUUAGUAAGCACGACAGACACGACACGUUCAAUCUUUCUGCGGAAAGAAAGCUUUAAUUUUCUUCAUAACUGAAAGCACUGAGGGCGUAAAAGCAAUUGCGGAGCCUCAAGAAUUGACCCAACGAGAAGGGAUUCGAACCAGUUAUAGCCUAGUUCAACCAAACAAAAAAGUUGCCCAGCCAUUCAAUUCCUAGUCCAUCUGAUGAAUAGUCCAGCUUCAGACCAUUAGUAUCAUCAAGCUGAGCAGGGACCUUGAUCAUGGGUCGCUAUCAAAUAUUCAGAUGAAAAAGGAUAUGAAGGGGAAGACCCUGCUGAAUGUGUAAGAGUUUGGAAUCACGGGUGUGAUUAUUGGUGAGCUUGGGAAUGGAAAAUGGAGUUUGAGAGUUAUUCUGAAUUUAGGUAGUUGGGAUCAAAUAUGAGAAAUAGUUUUCAUACGGGUAGAAUAUUUAUUAUGGUUUUUUACAUUGUUUUGUUGAAUUGUACGUCUGUUGUCUUUGAGUUUCUAUUUAUUUCCUUCGUUUUUCCAAUGAACAAAAAAAAAAAAAAAAAAUUAGGUGAUAUUGCCUUCGAUCACCGUCACUAGCAAUCAAUCUUUUUGUCAAGAAAUGAUUUGUCUUUACUAAUUGAAUCAAUGCAUUAGAGAUUCUGGGGUUCAAAAUUCAAAUCCAUCGUUCUCUUCUCAUUUCUUAAAUCUUAUUCCUCUCUUACUAAAAAAAAAAGGAAAUUAAAACAAAAAUCAAUACAUCAUGCAUUGUUCUCCAAGUGUAAUCUGUGCCACCAAUUGCGUGCACAUUCCCGCGCGCCCUAGCGUACUCAAUGGAAAUGAUAACAGUGACUGCCUUGCCUUGUCGAAGGAUCAAAAAAAAGACGGCCCAAGCAAGGAUGAGCACGAGGAUGACUCAAAUUUCACUCGACUCGUUUGGGCUAAGUUGAAUUUGGACAACCCUCCGUGAAUAAUCUGGCUGACAAAUUGUGCCAUAUUAACAGCUGUGAUCCAACUUACCUGCCAAAGAGUUGGACCUCCAGGACGAUGUUAGCCUAGUUACGUAAACUUCAGAGAGCCCAUCCAGGACCCAAAUAUUAGUAUGUGUAUUCUGGCUAGUCCGAGCCUGUAUUGGUCGGUAUACCCUUAUCUCAACCAAAAUAUUACACGAUUCUUUAUUUACCUUUUAUCUGAUGUAUAUCACAUUACGUUAGUAUAUUAUUUUUUAUAAAAAAAUUUAAAAAAUAACAAUCCAAACGUGUUCUAAUCAUUUUUUUUAGGGUAAAAUAAUAAAAAACUCCUCGCAGUAAAUUUAAUAUAUAGAAAAACCCCCGUGAUUUCGAAACGUACAAUUGACACCUCGUGCUUUGAACUAAAUUGUAAAUGUGAUUGAAUCCGUUAAACUUAACGGAAAUGACUUAUUGUAACCUAAAAAAAAAUUUAUAUCUAAUUUUUAUCAAAUAUACCUGUUCUACCCCUUAACCCUCAAUUCUCUCUCUCUCUCUCUCGUAGAGAAUAAAACAAAUGAUUUUGUUGAAUUGUUUUUUGCUUAGUUAUAUCGGGGCAUUUUUGUUAUUUCGUCAUUUCUGUUAAAUUAACAAAUUUGUCACCUGUACAAUUUAGUUCAAAUCAUGAGGUUUUGUUGUACGUUUUGAAAAUACGUGAAAUUUUUUGUAUAUUAGAUUUAUGGCGGAGAACUUUUUUGUUUUUUACCCUUUUUUUUAUCUCAAAUACAUAAAUCUUUGACAGUCUACUGUCUACCAAUUACUUUAUUUUUAAAUUUUAAAUUAUGGUCUAGUCUUCGAUUUUCGCUUCAUUUGUUGUUUAUAGUAACAGUUUAAAGAACCAAUAGCAGUGCUUAAAUCCUACAAGUCCAAAAGAACAAAUUUUCGUUCCUUAAAGUUAUGUUGUUUAUAUUCGCAAGUUUAUAUAUAUUCAAGAAAUGGGCCAGAAAUCACCCAUUGUUUCUUCUUCUCUCGUCUCUCUCUCUCUCUCAGAAUUGCCUAACGUACAUGAAUCCUUGUCGUUUGCCUGUCGUCUAAUUUCUCAGCACGGAUCAUUAAAAUCAGAGAAACAAACCAAAGUGUUCAAAACUCUGCCUUCGUUAAGGAUUCCAAUAAUAAUAUGGAAAUGAAAAUGUUGGGAUACAUAAGCCAGUGACCUGAAUCAUGAAUACGCUUUUCUUCUGAAGGUUCGGCCAAGACCAAAGAAUUGAAAGAAAGAGCCGAAUACGAAUGCGGGAUUGAAGCUUCCAAUUUUGGGCUGGCUGGCUGAAUACGAUGAGUCGAGUUACCGCUAGUCUGAUGUAAAGGUCACGGAACUUUACAAGCUAGAAAUGAAAACUUCUGACCCAUUCACUCUCUCUUUGUUUCUUUUUUUUUUUUUUUUAAUCCGAAAAGUAGUUUGUGAUGUUUGUUGCACGUUUUACGUAAUUCUUUUUUACAUUUAUCAUACAUAUAUUUUUUUAUUAUUUUUUAUUUCACGUUCAUCGAAUCAGGAGUAUAAUAUAUUCUUAAAAAAUUUAAAAUAGCAAUUCAAAUGAGCUCAAUUUAGUCUAACCAAACGAACCUUCAAGAAACACAACAUACUGCUCUCUCUGUCGUCCGCCCUUGACUGACACUUGAAAGCUUGGGCAUAGCUUCUCUUCUCUUCUAAGCUCUUUGCCCCUUUCCCUUUCCCUUCUAAGCCCCUUUCCCUUUCCCACUCGCUGGUUCUCUGCAGAGAAAAAGUAUAGCCGUAGUACCCAAACUCUCUCUAGCUCUAGCUUCUCCAAUCUCCCUCUUCUCCUCAACUUCUUAGUAUUGUCUCGACUCUCGACCCAACCGUUUAGGUACCACAGGACGUCGUCCCUGCUCCCAAAGUGUCAGAACUACCAGCUGUCCACCAUCUUGAAUCAAAUAAAGCUGCAACCUCACUGCUGUCUCUAUUCCACGGCCUUUUCCAUCAUCAAAAUGCCUCCUCUUUCUCUUUUAACCUCUUUUCCAUCCAUUGAUUCUCUUCGCCGUGACUUCCAGCCCUCAAGGAACGAAUAAAGCCACUUCGGUUUUUUGGAGCUUGUUAACAGUAAAAGUUGGUGGAUUUUUGUUGUUGCGUUUUCGCAGUAAGAUUUUGUCGUUUCCUUUUGUUUCUUUCAAAGCUUUUAUCUUGUUUUUUUCCCAAUCUGUAUAUUCUUUUUACUACUAUUGAUUUCUUGGUUGAAUAGCCUCGUAGUAAAGCUAACGAAUCUUUCUAUUUUAACUUGCUUGUGAAGUUACAAAUCUAUGAAGACCUAGAUGUCUUGUUGCUGUUAAUUUAACUCUUUUUUUUUUCUUUUAACUUGUUGAGAAUCUUACUAAUACUACUGGCAUUAUUUUUCUUGUUACUGAAUUGAAGUUUGAACCUUUAUUUGUUUUGGGCCAUUUGUUUAAGGCUAAUUUCAGAGGGAAUCAUGCUUUUCCUUCCUUCCUGAAAUCCCACUUUCCCAUUGGUCUGGUUUUCUUGGAAUCAGAUAUUUAAAAAAAAAAAAAAAGGGUUUGGAAGCAUACUAGGAGGGGAUGAUGGAAUGUGCGCUGCUAAACGUCCAAUACCCUUCGAAUUUCAGACAUUGUUUCCAGAUUUGCGAGAGUUUGCAAGUUCAUGUCCAUUGGGUCUUUACUGCCGAAAACCAGUGCAGUGAUGGUGUAAAAAGUGCAAGCUACGCAGGUUAGGUAUUUAGGUACCGAAAUACCUAACUAAAUUUUAGGAUUUGCCAUGUACCAGAAACGUACUGGUUAGUAUAAUUCGAAUGGUCUUGUUUGGCAUGAGAAAGUACCAUUUAGGUACUUAAUAAACACGUAAUAAAAAAAAUAUCAUAUAUUCAACCAAACCUUUUUUAUUUUCCUUUUUUCGGCACUUAGAGAGUUUAAUCAAAAUUAAAUAACCAUGACUUUGGUAUCGUGUCAUGUGCGAUAGGACGAUAAAGGUACCAGAAUGUGGAGAUUAUUAUAUGGGAAUCGGGAUAACUUGUCGCCAGUGCUACUCCCAACCGAAGAAAAGAGCUUUGUCUUUUCUUUAUCUGACUUAACAAUUUAAUCAGAAUAUUCGAGUAUAGGACCUAAUAAAAAUAAAAUAAAAUAGAGUGCAUUCUAGUAUUGUUUUGUUGGGGAAAAGUUUUGGAUGAACAAAUUAAGAAAGUUAUAUGUGGAGGCCAGCUGGUUGAUGGCAGAAUUGAAGCUGAUGGAAUUUUAAAUUAGUUAAUCGGAGUGUCUAAGAAUUCGCUUAGAGGUGUUUUGUCCCUUUAUUACUUGUGGCCAACUAACUACUCCUGUUGUUUAUGUUAUGUUUUCUGCAAUUUUAGUACUAGGACUUUUUUCUCUCCCUCCUUUUUUUUCUUUUUUUUUUGGGUAUGGGGGGGGGGGGAGGGGAGGAGGAGGUAGGAGGGCAUGUUUGAUUUGGACUCGGGGCACGGACGGUUGCAGGUGCAACCGUUCCUGUCAAUUUUAGUCAUUAUCAAUUGCGUGUAACUUUCUUUGUACAUCGUGUAACUUUUUUUUCACAGGAUGUAUUUUCACAACAGAUAGUGGUGGGUCCCACACUUGACGCGGAAAUCGAGUUACAUGGUAUUAUCUCAGCCGCACAAAAUUUUGAGGGCAAAUCUUGGCCCUUAACCGUGCAUGAUGACCGUCCCUGCCCCAAAUCCGUUUGAUUUCUUCUCCCCUUUGCAAGGGUCAAUGAUUGGAGACAGGCGAAACGGGAGAAAAUUGAAGACCCCCAAAAAAACCGAGUAAAAAAAAAGACCCGAACCGACUAGCCAAAUUAGAAGAAAAGAAAGGAAACCCCCCGGCAUAAUCGGGAGGGUUGCAUGUCUGCGGCGUCAAAACAAGAGUCAUUUCUGUUAGAUAAAGCCACUUCUCUUUUCUUUGUGAAAAUGUUGCAAAAUGCGAUGUAUCCCUUGAACUGAAUUGGUAGAGAGAGAAAUGAGGUCAGCUGGUUGCGCUGCUUUUACGCUUUAGCUUACGUAUUACGCUUUUAAUACGUUAGGGACAAGGAUCAGAUAGCAUGCGUGCAUCACACCCUUAUCUUAUGGAAUAAUUUCACAAACUUCCCUAAGGUUUAAAACACAAGCAUUGACACUUGGUGAGGUUUUAAAAAUUUCACUGACCUCCUGACAGGUAUUUGGAGCGCUUUGCUUACGUCAUGAUGGCUGAAAUUACCACUUUGUCCUGUGAAGGCGGGGCUCGUUACUAACCUAAAUUUAGGGAACAAACGGAUCUGAAUUAGUUAGUUACAUUUAGCUAGAAUAACAAAAUUGAUGAAGAAAUUUGGCACCAUUUUUUCUGACAGCUAUAAUUUGGUAAGGAUGAUUGAACACGUUUCUAUAAGAGAAGGAAAAAGAAGAAGUGAAUGGAGACAAAGUGCAGAUUUGUUCUUGUGUUGGGAGUGAAGGUGAUUUUGAACCAGAAAUCAAGGUACGAGCUCCCCAUGUGGUGCUUGAAAGUUUCUGAAUUGCAUUUCCCCCCCCCCUUCAACUUUACUAAUUAUUUCGACCUUUUAAGGACUUGCAAUCUUCUCUCAUCUCACUCUUGGCAAUAAUAUAUUAAUCUUAUUUGGACUGAAUUGUUACCAAAAUCUCAAAAGCAAAGAUGGUCAGUGAAGUUUUUAAAAACUCAGAGGGUGAUAGGGCAAGUGUUAGAAUCCUCAGGGGAGGUUUGUGAAAUUAUCCCUGCCUUCAUUAUUACUGUGGCAUGAGAUAUCGAUCAAGUUUUGCACCCUUUCUCCUUUCUCCCGCUCGGUUUUAUUAAGUAUGGAACAAAAAAUUAAUAGGCUAGCAAUUAAAUAGAGGGAGGAAUGUAUUUGAUGAUACGAGCGGAGGGAGCGUAAUUUAAUAAAAAAAAAUUAGUAAUUAACUUGAGGAGAGUCGGACUGAGUGGUAAGGUGAUAAAGAUUGUAAUUAGAAGAUUUUGAAUUAAAAUCUCCCAUUUAUUUAUUUUUUUUAAAAAUGGUUGGCAAGUAACAAAAUUUAUUCCCCUUUCGGCGUCCUAUUCAAUCACGGGCAUCUUGGUGGAAAGGACCAUUCUAAUUUCGUUACAAGGGAUUUCAACUUAAAAGGUUUUUGAUUUUUGGGGGGGGGGGGGGGGGGGGUAAGGGGGCUGGGUUUUAUAGUAGUGGCACAUAAACAAUCGGGUCCACAGCACAGGAUAAGGCUCUCCGGGCACCUUGACCCCGUCAUUUGGCAAAGGAAAAGUCAUGGAUUUGAGGGUCAGAUUCUGCAAGUACUAAACAGACAAGACUCCUUUGCUUCACAUGGAAUAAAGAUUUAUCCAUUCGCCUCAAAAAUAUAUACCACUGCUACUUCGUAUUUCGUAGUAGUAGCUCUCCAUAAGGAUCUCCCACCUCCGAAAGUUUAUAUUUCCUCCGUUCCACUUUGAUAGUUCCAUUUUUUUUUCACAUAAUUUAAGAAAAAAUAAUUAACUUUGUUGGAAAAGUAAAUUUAGAUUGCUAUUUUUCUAAAAUACCCUCACAUUAAAUAUGGUACAACUUUAUGGGAACUUGAAUUCAUAGUCAAAAAAGAAUCAAUUCUCAUUAAAUGGAGUAGGCUUAUAGUAACAACAACUUACAUUGAAUAAGGGUAUUUUAGAAAAAUUAAAAUACAACUAUAUUUUUCAAUUAGAAAGUGGACUAGAAUUUGAGACAGACCAAAAAGAAAAACGGAACUGUCAAAGUGAAACGGAGGGAAUAUUAUACACAGAAGAAGAUGAGGAGCUGCCCUUUAUUGCACGCUCGACAGUCCUUUUCUUUUUAUUUAAAAUUAAUAGUAUGACAAAUAAGUCUUCGGACCGGUUCUUUUCAAACACACCGAGAGAAUUAAAUGUGAUGAACCAGUUAACGAAAAAUAUGGGUUUCGCAAACGAAUUUGCUGGAAUGUGACGUAUUGAUUAACAGCAUGUCAUGUCUUCCACAAGUUGCAAAAAAGUAGGGCAACACAGAUUUUAUAGACUUGAAUUAUUGUGAUAAUUAUUGAGUCCCACGUAUUAAUGGAAAUUUGUGUUGUCCUUUAUCCCCCGAAAGAAAUGAAUAAAAACUAGGAAAGCAAGAGAGAACGAAAAGACCUUUAGAAAAAGGUGGAACAUCAUAAUUGCUUGAAAGGAUCCACCAUAAAUGCUCAAUUUUAGUGGCAUGCAAGACCAGCAUAAUUCUGCAGUCGGUUUGUUCCAGAAUUGACAAAGUGGAAACACGGCAUGCUCUAACCCCAUAAAUGGUACGUUAUUCAUCGUGUUCAAGAUAGAAUGCUGCUUUGACUCUCUUGCAAAACCCAAUAUCUCCGAUAUGCUCGACUCUUUUUAUGAAAUUAAUCUAGCAGUAUCAAUUUACUUCCUCCGUUCUAUUUUGAUAGUCCCGUUUCUUUUUUCACACAGUUUAAGAAAAAGUAAUUAAUUUUGUUAGAAAAGUAAAUUUAGAUUGUUAUUUUUCUAAAAUACCCUCACAUUAAAUAUGGUACAACUUUACGAGAACUUGAAUUGAUGGUAAAAAAAGAAUCAACUCUCAUUGGAGUAGGUUUAUAGUAACAACUACUUACAUUGAAUAAGGGUAUUUUAUAAAAUUUAAAAUACAACUACAUUUUUUAAUUGGAAAAUGAACUACAAUUUGGGACAGAUGAAAAAGGAAUACAUGGACGGAGGGAGUAUAAUGGUUCUCUUGCGUAAAUUUGACCGUUAAGAGGCUAAAGCCAGCAUUUUGACUUCAUCGCAUGAUCAAACUUGCUGCAUCAACAUUUAUGUUGAAGGUGUUUAAGAAUCCUGGAUUCUGUCGUAAAGUCUUGCAAACUUUCUGCAAAAGCCUCGACUCUUUCUUUUCGACAGAUUUUUAGUUGAUACUCCCUCCGUCCAAUUUUGAUAGUCCUGUAUUUCUUUUUCAUCUGUUCCAAAUUGUAGUUCACUUUUCAAUUGAAUAAUGUAGUUGUAUUUUAAUUUUUCUACAAUACCCUUAUUCAAUGUAAGUAGUUGCUACUAUAAAUCUAUCCCAUUUAAUGAGAGUUGAUUCUUUUUUUACCAUCAAUUCAAGUUCCCAUAAAGUUGUACCAUAUUUAAUAUGAGGAUAUUAUAAAAAAAUAGCAAUCUAAAUUUAUUUUUCCAACAAAGUUAACUAUUUUUUCUUAAACUGUGUAAAAAAAGAAACAAGACUAUCAAACGGAUGGAGUAAGAUUUAUUGACAAGAUGCCUGAUGAUUAACGAGACGGUCGGGAGGCAAUCAAGGGAAGCUGCUAUCUUUGAGGUGGAUUUGCCCAAAUCUUAAUUUAAAACGAAAGACAGGAAAAGUCAACAGCAACCAGGCUAUUCAAGUCUUCAACCACAACCAAUGCACCGCCUCAUCGUCCUCUCUCUCAAAUUUGUCUUCUUCCUCGGAAGUCCACAUACUCGUAUUAAACAAAAACAACGUGGGUUGCUCCAAGACUUAAAAAAAGAAAAAAAAAAAGAAAAAAAAAGAGAGAGACUGGAACAUCUCUUCAGCUGCUAUACUAUACUUGUUAUAAACCAAGGCAGCCAGAUUUUAUUUUUUACCCAAAAAUUAGUGAAUUGAUGCCCUUUUCUUGGAUAAAAGAAAGGUGCUCGUGGCCAUUAAAUAAAUUGUGCUAGUCAGUGAAAUCCUGAUCAAAAGGAAAAUGGAAGUUCCAAAUUCAUCUCCAAAGAAAAAGGCUGGUUCGGGGGAAGUCGGGUUGGGCACAGUACAAGGAAAUAGCGUGCAUGUGUCGCUAUUGCCUUGGUGGCCCCGGAACUUGGUGCCUGGAGGGGAUUGCAGAAACGAACUUCUUUUUUUGACUAAGCUAAUCGUCUUCUUCGAGUCUUGAUGACGAUCAUAAUGAAUGGAACUCUUGCUGGUCGAUGUCACUUUCUUUGUUAAGACGUAUUCGACCACAUUUAGUCAGGGCAGAAAGGUAAUUAAAUCACAACUUGAUACUUGAAUCAAGGUCGUCCCGGGUAGAGUUUGCUUGAUUUUAAUUUGUCAAUUAAAGUCAAAUCUAACACGAAUAGUAUUUUGUGUUGGGCAAAAUUUCGAACUUUGGCUCAAACUCAGCUUGAUCACUGCAAUAUUUAUAGUUUACAUGUAAAAUAUUCAAACUGUUCGAGCUAAAUUUGAGUUAAGACUCCAUAAAAGUUUGAUAUAAUUUGGCUCAAUUGAUAAAUUCAAACUUAUUAAAUUAAAUAAAUAAAUUUAAAAACUAGAAUAUUCGACUCGUUCAUACCCUCAGAUUUAGCAGGCAUGGCGCGUGAUAAGAGGAGGACCCUUAAGCCAGGCCAGGGGCAUCUCCUGGGGAGCUACUUGAUGAGAAAGUGAUGUAAAGCCAUGAAAAUGCUCUCCGUUAUUGCCCAUCGGUUAUACUUUUACCUGAACUAAAAAGUCUUGGCCACUUGUUCAAAGGAACUUCCUGUCCUAGAAGCUGUCAGACUCACAGACCAACAUGCAUGACAAAUGAUUUAAUAUAAUGCCAUUAAAACUCAAAAAAGGAAGUAAUGGUCGCGUUGAACGUAUUGAGAAGCCGGUGCAGUUUUAGAAUUAAAACCGGCAGGGAAAUAUCUCCCCAGAUGACAUGUCAAGCUUACAACAAUGAGGGGUUACAAACUUGGAUUCACCACUUUUUGCUUUUGGCAAAGAGAUGAGCUUCAACUACAUAUUUGGAAUCAAGGCAAUUGCUUUCACACGUUCGUUUGAUUCAUUAUUUAUGUACAUUCCAUUGUGCGUGUUGAAGCAGUGAAACUUCAUUCUA